Molecule: long non-coding RNA, 61968 nt
Filed under: Zea mays
Lineage: Eukaryota; Viridiplantae; Streptophyta; Magnoliopsida; Poales; Poaceae
Description: long non-coding RNA (ZMAY_LNC001719)
Source: RNAcentral
GAUCCAGCUCUUCUCUCCACGGUGUGGUAGCCCAUCAGAUCUCCAGCUCUUCUCUCCACGGCGCGGCAGCUCAUCGGAUCUCUGAUCGAGCUAAUUUCUGGUUGGUGUGUGCCUUUCUUCUCUGACGCGGAGUGCGCGGCCCAUUUCGCCACCGGAGAACGCGCAAGCAGAAGCAGACUUAUCGCGUCGUGCUCGCCCGAGGCGGACCGCCGUGGUCGCCCGAGGUGGAACGAGAAAGCAAGAGCAGCCUCGGAACGUCGUGCUCGGCGUGGGACUCCUCCUCCGACGACGCACGGCCUCUUGUCCGCGCCCUUCUCUGUGUUGCCUACGUCGUGGGGGCGUGCUCCUCCUCUCCUCGUGCCACACUCUCCUGCUCUAUCGUAGCAUUGUUGUCCAUGCCACGUCCGUUUCCGUCGAGCACGGAGAUCAACAACUUCUACUGCCUCCUCCCCCGCCGUGAACUCCACUAUCCAUCAAGGCCGACCAUUGCGCCCCUCACUACGUGGAUUCAUUGAACGGCAGCAAGGCCAACGCACCUAGCAGCUCAACCGCUAGCUGCAGUGAGACACCAUUGGAUGGAUGCAUGUAUCUCUGAUGACAAUGAGACACCAAUGGAAGUUGUUGCACCUGAUGAUGAUGAGAGGCUUUAUCCUGAUUUAUUAGUUGACUGGUGGGAUCAAUUGGAGUUUGAAGGGUAUGAUCCUUUGCCUACACAAUUUGAGUAGACUGAUGAAGAAGAGAAUAAGGAGAAUAUUGAAAAUGGUGUGGUGGAUCUAGACCAAGAAGAGGAUGAGGAUAGAUCUCGAAUUGAGUACGACAGAGACAAUCCCUCGCUAAAAGAAGGUAGCACAUUUCCAUCAAUGACUGAUUGUUGCAAUGUACUUACUACUUGCUGCAUCAAGGGUGAGUAUGAUUUUGUGAUGGAUAAGAGUGAGCAAGAAAGAUUGACUGUGCACUGUUCUUUCUCGAGGUGUAAAGGGAGGAUGCAUGCUUCCACUAUGCAGAAUAGCACAAUUAUUCAGGUGAAAGUGAAUCCAUUUCCACACACUUGUCCAAGUACCGAAAGAAAAAAAGACUCAAAAGUGUAACACCCUAAAUUUAGCGGUAUAAAUUUAUUUUCUAUAAUCCACCGAAUUCAAGUGUUUCCCUCUUCUUUCUUUGCCUUUCUUUCUCUGUUCAAAAUAGUGAAGGAAUAUUUUGCUUUUAUGUAAGUAUUAGAUGUAUUAAUGAAACUCAAAAGGGAUUUUUGAUUGUUGCAUCACAUGCUGGAGCAUUAAUUUUUUUUGUUGUUGAUUGAGUUGAAGGAGUUUUACUAUUUAAUUUAUUCUCCUUUUGCGAAGCCCAAUUUAAUUAAUAAUAGAAAUUUACCAAAAAAUAUUUAUUGAAUAUUUUAUUUGGAAUUAUUAUUAUUAUUAUUUUUAAAUUUUUAUGAUUUUUUAAUAUUUAGAAAAAACAUAUAUUUCGAAUAACUUAUGUGAAGAAAAAAAGGAAAAAGAAUUUUGAAAUAAAAAAGAAAAAGAAAUCCCCAAAAAAUCAAUCGUCCGCCAAUCCAGCCCACAAUCCCCCUCCCCACAUGCACCAACUCCCUCCUCAUCCUUUUCUUUUCUUCAUUCCUAUGACGAUGGGCCCCACUAGCUCAUUUCCUCUCCCCCACGUAUUCUUCUCCCUGCUUCGAUUCAAAAAACCGGUCAACCGGUCGUCUCUCUACUCGUUCGCGGCCAGCCAGUGCGGCCAGCCAGGGCGGCGAUCCCACGACCAACGUGGCGACCCAGCAUGGCUCGGCUGUGUAGCCCCGACACGGCCCGCGCGGCCUACGCAAUCUGACUUGGCCCUUGCACAACCCCAUCGUAACAGUCUCGCUGUCGUCGUGCAUUGCCGCGAGCUCGUCUCAUCGUCCACCGCAUUGGCGAGGUGAGCUUUGUCUACCCUCGGUCUAUCCUUCGUCUACCUCUUGCGCACAGCACCGUCGACCCUCAUUGACGUGCAAUUCACGCUGCGCGCAGCACGUCUGACUUGCGCGCAAGUCACGUGUUGUUGCAUGUGUCAUCACGCGUCGUUCGCGCGCCAUUCCACGCCUGUCAUGCACGUACUCGUCGUCAAUUUUCAUGUUCGUGCACGCGCGCCGCGCGUCCGGUAUGCACAUUAUUUGUGCGAUUUCGUGCGUGCGGUUUCGCGCGUGCUAAUUCAUAUGUUGAUCAUGCGCAUCGUCGUUCGCGUAAAUCGCUAUUUGCGCGCUUUAAUAAAAUCACUUCGCCAUAUCGUUCAUGUUAAAUACUUGGUUAAUUGUUUAGUUUUCAAUUAUUAAAAUAAUAAUUCAAUUGAAUCUAAUUUAUAACUUUAACUAUGAGUUUGUAGAUAUUUGUUAACGUGUUUAUGCCGACUUAAAUGUUAUAUUUAACAUUUGUUUAAUAUAAGAAAACGACACAAUUUAGUAGUAUUUGUAUGUCACGUCGUUUAUUAACCGAGAAUUGUUAGUCAUUCAAUGUAUAAUGUGUCAUAAAUCUUUCGACUUGUUUCAGUUGUGUCAACUUCGUAACAACGUUGAUUUCGUAUUAGUAAUGUUAUUUUAUCACGUCACAAGUUUAAUUAUUUAAUUAGUUGUUCAUUCGAUACUUAUUAAAAAUAACCUUAUAAUUAAAACUAGUUUAUAGUUUUUAACUCAUGCUUUUAUAAAUAAAUGUUAACUUGAUUAAUAUCAACUUAAAUGUUUUUAUUUAAUACUUGUUUAGUAUAAUCGCGUUAUCUGUUUGCGAUUAUCACGUGUCGUCGCACUGUCUGCGCGCUGUUCGUGCGUGAUGUGCUCGUGGUUGUGUGCUUAUUCGUGUGUCGUUCGCGCUGGUCGCACGCACUGUUUCCUGCGUCGUUCGCGCGCUAUGUCCUGCGUGUCCGCGCGUUGUUCGCACGCUGUUGUGUUGUUUCUUGCAUCGUGAAUUCGCCUUGCUUAGGAUCACUAAUAUUAAUUAAUUUACUUAUUUGACCGACAAUUGUUAGUGUAGCAGGUUAAUCAAAACUAAAUAGUAGUUAUAUUUUAUAUUUGAUAAAUGACAAAUUAAAUGUUUUAACUAAUAUUUGUUUAGUGUAAACGCGAUAACUUCUUCACCUUUGCUCUGACUGUUGUGUUUUUUCCUCUUGUGACCGUAGAAGCGAUCUCUAUUUUAUAGUACACAUUUUUAUAAUGGUUUCCUUUGUAUGGUGUAAUGUUCUUAUGCAUGUAUAUGUUUGUUAUUUGUGCCUGUUUGUAUGCGCUGCGUGUCGAGAGAAUGUGAUCCGUUUCCGAGCUUCGAGGAAUUGACGAUCAAGCUACAACGACCAAGUGAACAAGUUCUUCGAGUUCUACAAGGUUGAAGACCCUAAGCGUCUGUCUGUUGAAGUCAAGUCUCAUCUGACCCAUUAUGUUCUACUCACUUUAUAAUUCACUGUCCCACAUACUAUGAUCAACCUAAGGAUUGACUAGUGUUCUGUUUUUUCUAUCCUUGGUUAUCCUUUGGGAAUUGGUUACUAUGAUUAGUAUCAUGCUAUUGCUUUACUUUAAUCAAUGAACAUGAUGAGAAUAUUUAUGAUACGUUGAUGAUAUCAUGAUUACGAUGAUGAGCUUGUGUUAUUUUAGGGGGCUCAUGUUGUUUCCUGAGUACCUCUCCGUAAGGACCUAUUCGUUGGAUGACCACCCGGGAAAACAGUGCAACCAUGAGGGUGGUAUGGGACGCCCUUAGCUGAUUAAUUGGAGGAACUUGGGGGUGUAGUUGGCUUCGCCGUAGGGCCGUCAAUGGGGGUCGGGGCAUAGUGCUUGCUCUGCUAAGGGUGGGUGCCGAGGUUCCUUUGAUUUGGUUUUGUUAGACACCCACCUUAGGGAGGAGUAUAGUGUUUAUACGACUAGCGAAAUCUAAUGGGCGACUACACACCAGGGGAAUCUUUGUGAAGGCUACAUAAUGUAUCCCUUGCCAUUCACCUCGGUAGUGAAGAUCGGGUCUUGCAAACCCAGGCUGGAAAGGGAUCGCGGCUCAUGGGUAAAGUGUGCGACCUCUAUAGAGGAAUGAAACUGAUAUAUCAGCCAUGCUCACAGUUAUGAGCAACCUUGGGAGCUCCUUUGAUUAGAGAUACAAAUGAUCGAGAUGUUAUGGUUCCAUUUAUGGAUUUGGUUCGAUGAUGAUAAUGAUGUUCCUCAAUGAGGAAAGGAUUCACGGGUUGGUUAUUGCUAAAACUUGGCUUCCACUGAGAAUAAAUACCUAACCAACUAAAAGCAAUUGCUUUGAGCUUAACUCCACAUAAAAGCUAGUCCACCUCAGCCAAACAGGACAUUUGCUGAGUAUGUUGAUGUAUAUUCACCCUUGCUUUCACAAAACACCAGGUUGCCUUUGGUGCAAUCUAUUCUCGGGUAAAGAAGGAGAAGAAAGCGUCGAGGCACAUCUCUAGGAGUUCCAGGACUUCGAUGAGUUCGAGGAUUAGGCUAGCGACCUCCCCUAGUCAGCUGUCUGUGGUGGGUUCGUUUACGUUGGCUACGUUUCUAUUAUGUGCAAUUUGAUUUAUAUUAUGUAAAUGACUCUAGUAUUUAAUAUUAUUACUUACUCUUUAGUGUUAUUUGAAGCAUUGUGCUAUGAUGAGUCAUUUAUGUAAUCGUUGUGUACGUGAAUUUCUGAUCCUGGCACGUACAUGGUUCGCAUUCGGUCUACCUUCCAAAACCAGGUGUGAGGAAAAGGUAGCUAAGAAUCGGUGGUGCACGAAUGCAGUUUUGGAAUGGGUGACAGAGAACCCAUGCUAUGGUCCCAACAGCAUUGAUAAAAAAGAUCGAAGACAAGUAUAACAUUACGGUGACUUACAUGAGAGUAUAUGUCGGUACCUUGAAACAGGGGUACCCCUUACUAUAGUAUGAAGGCGCGGUGUCCACGUGUCUAUCUCUAGUCGCAUGGCAAACAACACCCGACCCCACCACGCGGACGGCUCCGGGGCCACCACGUGGCUAGAGAAGACGAUAUGGUCCAAGGCACUAGCAGUGGGUCCGGACCCCCAUGGGAAAGUGCCGGACCCCUGUAUAUACGGACCGGACCUCCGGGUAAGGUCCAGGACCUCCACGGGCACAAACCGGACCCCUGGGAUGGGUCCCGGACCCCUCUGUGUGGGGUCCGGGCCACUCACAAUAGGUUCCCGGGAUUCUGGGACAAAGAGUACCCAGACCUUAAUCAAGACCAGGCGGGGGUCCAGAGCUGACACGUGUCCGGACCAUGCCGGGUACGCUUCUGCUCCCCGCUCAGGUGGAGACCCGAUGCUGCCACGUGGCCCACUGUCCAUGAUGUAAGCCAGCGAGCGGAGCCUGACGUAAGGCCUCUGGGCCGCGCGGCCUCUGCAUUUAUUGCGGAUAAGUCGUGCCGCCUGUCCACUCCACUAGCAGGCGAUGUGCCGCCUCAGCAUUUAAUGAGCCCUGUCCACUCCACUGGCAGGCGAUGUGCCGCCUCAGCAUUUAAUGUGCCAUGUCCACUCUGCUGACGGGCGGCGACCAGGCCAACCUAUAGGCAGCGUGCUUGUCUAUUCCGUUGGCAAGCAGUACGCCCGUGCUACGGCGUACACUAUGCUCAUCAUCACCCGCGCGUUACCAAGGAAGCAGCGCGGGAUAUCAAUACUAUGUGCACUACGAACAUUAUGACGCUCGGAGAUCUUCUAGGCGACACUGGCAUUGGAUACUUCUAUAUGUAUUCCCUUCGUUUUGCCCCUGGGCCCACAUGUCGGGGCUCAGCACCCUUGUACGUGCCCCCCUUGAGCUAUAAAAGGGAGGGCACAUGACAUUACAGGGUCAGACCCAACUGAGACACACACACACUCACUCAAACUCACGAGUUCAUACAAGCUCUCAAGCUCAAUACAUCAUACAGUGGAGUAGGGUAUUACGCUCCGGCGGCCCGAACCACUCUAAUCCCUUGUGUGUUCUUGUGUUCUUCCCGAUUCCAUCUAGUAGGCAAAACGCUUAGGCCCCUCCUCAUCUUAGGAUUUAGGGUGGGUGCGUUCCGCCACCUGGCCAGAGAAUUCCCUCUCCGACAGUAUAUUAUGGUAAGAAGAUGGCGCUUGACAAAAUUUAUGGUCCGUGGAAGGAUAGUUUCAACUUUAUGUUCACAUACAAAGUUGUGGUUGAAACGAUGUGCCCAGGAAGUGUUAUCGAGAUUGACAAACAUACAGUGGCAUAUAAAGUGAGAGGCAAAACUAUGGAAAGGAAUGUUUCAAGAGGGUGUUUGUGUCAUUCAGAGCCUAUUGGAAGGGAUUCUUAUCUGGUUGUAGGCCUUACUUGGCUGUGGAUGCAACCUCUCUGAACGAAAGAUUUAGAGGACAACUGGUAGCUGCUUGUGCAACUGAUGCACACAAUUGGCUUUUUCUAGUUGCUUAUGGUGUGUUAGAGGAAGAAUCCACAGAUAGUUGGACUUGGUUUCUUCAGAAUUUGCUACAGGUUAUUGGGUUUCCGAAUGGGCUGGAAAUACACAAACGCUUGUAAGGGUUUGGAAACUACAAUAGAUGAGAUGUUCCAUGGAAUAGAGCAUAGGGAAUGCGCGGCACCUUGUUGAAAACUUUGGAAAAUCUUUUAAGGGGAAAAUAUUUGAUGACAAUUUAUGGCCUGCAUCAUUGACAUGUAGCCUGAAGAAGCAUAACUACCACUUGAAUCAAAUGUACACAAAGCCAAAGGUGCAGGCAUAUAGGGAGAAGAAUAACACCAAGAUAUGGGCUAGAAGCAAAUUUAAUGGGCUAUGCAAGGUAGAUUAUAUGAACAACAAUCUUGCAAAGUGUUUCAAUGCAUGGAUCCAGAGAAUUAAAGGCCUACAUUUAGUUGAAUUUCUUGACAAGAUUAGACAGAUGAUCAUGGCAAAGUUUGAGUUGCGACAAAGAACAAUUGAAAAUUUUGCUAGCCACAAGAUAAUCCCCAAUGUGAAGAAAACAUUGCAUGCCAAAACUAGAGGUUUAAAGAUGUCAUUGAUUAAGCACAAGCCUUUUGAGGCAGAGGUGACCAUGUUGGAUAGAGAGAAGAGGGAAUGGUGGUAUCCAGUGGACCUAGAAAAGAGGACAUGCACUUGUAGGCAUUGGCAGAUUAGCGGGCUCCCUUGCAUCCAUGCCUUGUUUUUAUCACAUUACUUCGAGGUCCAGCAUCUGAGAUUGAUCAAUAUGUACAUGACUACUACUCUGUUGAUCAGUUCAGUGCAACUUAUGCUGAUAAUGUGCCUUCCAUUGGGUCAAAGCAACAAUGGGAUAAUGCCGAUCCUGGUUUUGUGCUACAUGCUCCAGUAUAGACAAGAGCACCGGGAAGGCCAAGGAAGACUAGAAUAAGAUCUAGUGCUGAGGGCGUAGGAUGGACCGAGGAAACGAAAAUGCAAGAGAUGUGGCGGAUUGGGACAUAUUGCCUAUUGGUUACUUAUUUUUUAUUGCUAUGAGCCAAAAACAAGACACCACAAAUGCUAAAUGUUAAAGACAUUUGUCCUUCGAAGUAUUAUCACCUUUCGAGGAUAAUGAGUCUCGGACAAAGGUCAUGAAGAACAAGUCUUCAGUAUUCAUAAAUAUAUAUACAAUAUUGCAAGUUUUAUAUUACAAUGUAACAUUAUGUUGAAUACUCAUUUCAUUUCACAUGUCAAACCAAUAAUACAAUGUAUCUUAUAUAUUAAUAAAAUGAUACAAAGUGUAUAUUACAUUUGUACCUUCGGCUUGCUCGAAGGUAAAAGUGCGAAUAUAGUUUCUCAAAUUCAACGUGAACAGUAUGAGGAUACUGUUCACCUAUUUAUAGGCAAGAGACACAGCCCAAGCAAAAGUACAUUUAUGACCCUGAUAUCUAUACAUUAUUCUAACACAAAUAUUAAGGAUAAGCGGGUCUUUUCCUCUCUGACUCAAUGUCAUGUCUAACCUUCGUAACUAUCUUGAGCCAGAGUAUUAACUCUUCGGUGUCUUGUGCAUGGUUGUUGCAGCUUCGGCACUCAAUCCCUUUGUUUGCAAACAAUUCCUUCGUCAUAAGGACCUUUGGCAGAGAAGGAGACCCCUAACAUUGCCAGGAACUAUAAACCUUUGGCAGACGAGACCCCUAACAUUGCCAGAAACUAUAAAAAUGCAAUUUAUCCAGCUUUUGGAGAAGAUGACUACUAGGUACAGAAAAUGCAGUUCAUCUAGCUUUUGGAGAAGAAGACCCGGUUGCUAGAGCCAUGGAGUCCAGUGAAAAUCUUGUUUUAUUGUCCAGUGAAAACCCAGUUGUUGGAGCCAUCAUGGAGUCUUACAUUCCUGCCUCGGUCGAGCCAUCCUUUGUUGAAAGGUAGUAUUGAAUUUCAAGUUAGUUUCUUUUUCAAGUUACUCUACUGCGAUCUAUAAUAAAAAUCUUGUUUUGUUGUCCAGUGCAAAUCCGGUUGCUGGAGCCAUGGUGGAGUCCUACAUUCCUGCCUCGGUCGAGCCAUCCAAUGCUGUUUCAUCAAGGUUGUAUUGAAAUUUGUCAAUUCAACUUAAAUGUGCUUCAAAUUGAAGUUUGUGACAUUUCAUGUUUUGUGUAGGGAUUCCAUUGCGGUGAAGGAAAAGAAAAGGAAGAGAGGAAAGGAGGUUGUACGCACAACUAUAAAUAGUCCAGCGAAGAAUACAAGGAGCAACGGAGGAAGGGGGGCCUGCUGCCGCGGCGGUCUUGCAGAAGGAUGGCGAAUCGGAGGCGGGGGGAACCUGCUGUAGAGCACGCCAGCGUGGGAGGCGCACGGGGCCGACGGGUGCCGCGGCCGUGGAUGAGCAGGAUGGGGAAUCGAUAGUGGCUGCUGCUGCAACGAGGAGGAACUGAGGUGGGGUGGGGAUCUAUGCCGCUGGGGAGCCGGUGAUGGAGAGCUAGAGUGGAUCAAUGCAUCGCCGCCGGCCGCCGAGCAGAGAGGCUUCCCUGAUCUCAAUCAGGAUAACUGAGGGGAAUGGGGAAAAUUGGUUGGUGGCCCCACCUGUAAGGGCUGAGCAGUGGGCCUUAAAUGUCAGACUCGACACAAUGGACGUGUGACACCCCAAGUGUCUAUUUCGUGUUAUGCCGUGAGUUUUGUCCUAAGCUUGGAUGUUCAGUGAAAAUUUUUAUUUCUCGAUCGUGUCUAUCUCUGUUUAUCAGGAUUAUUCAUGGAAGUUCACCGAAUUUGGAGUUAUUCGAUCUCGAGACAAAUGCCGAAAUUAGAGCAUGUUAAAACUUUUUAUUUCUCGGGACGAAUGCAAACUCGAUAUCUCAACUUAUAAAUCUCAUCUAAAGCUCAUUUAAUCAACUCUCGACUGUUAUUAUUUGAUCUGUGCUCGAGUCCAAUUCCUCGAACUUUGAUCUAUGUCCGACUAUUUUAUCCGGAUCCGUACUCUCAAAUGGAAUGCUAAUCAUUCUUAUCCGACUCAGCCUAAUAUCUCUAUGUCCGAAACAGACUCAAAACCCAUAUCGGCAGUGAUUUUAAAAUGACAUGAUUCGCCUUCUCCGACUAAAAAUACGAAGCCAAUCAAAAUAUUGAGAUAAAAAUUAGUUCUAAAAUAGUGCGUGAGAGAAUUUCAAAGUGACGCCAAAAUAAAAAUGCUCGAUCUAAAUUAAGCACUCGGUCGUCUGUCAUCUAGACGUCGGUUUGUUUUUCGUUCGUCACACCAGUUCGAGUUUUCUCGCAUGUGAAUCGUCGUUCAAAUCCAGCGAUAUUUUUCGGGUUUCUUAGCCUAGAAGCAAUCCUUGCUUCUCCCCUAAGUGAGCUCAAGAGAAACCCUAACCAUAGAGCUUCCCAACAAAUAGAAGUGCCUUCCUUGCAAAUUGGAAAUUUUCCAUUCCCUGCUAGCCACCACAGCACUUCUUCCUCCUCCCUGUCACCCUCUUCUUCACUUCGUCUCCAUGCUUGACCCCAGCCGAGCUCGCCACCCACCUCGUCGGUGCCGGUUCCGCCUUAGUCGCGCCUGCCACUACGAGCUCCCUACUUCGUCAUCCAUGGUAGCCACUUCCUCAACGCCUCCAUCUCACCCCAGCACCUGAUUUCCUCCACUUGGCACCCCCUAUAGGUGCAGCAGUUCAGCUCCUCCAUGGUCGCGUCCAAGGUUGGCUCCAACCCCCCUCCUCUCUGUUCAUUGCGCAGAGGAACUUCAGCAAGACUGGCGCUUGCCCCUUCCUGCACCUCCCCUCCAGGUCGGUUCCCUUAUUCUCUCGGAUCCUAGCAGCGUGAGCAUGCGCCUUCCCCAGCGGGACUCCUCAUCUCCCUCCUCCAAGCGCUUCCCUGCUCCAAAAUUCGGUGAGGCCUCGCCUCCAUACCAGCUCCCUUGAUCGGCGAGCUUCUCCAUCUCCAGCGCCGGCCACCCCCUUCACCGCACGGCGUCUCCCCCAUACUCGACCUCCGCAAGCCGUCGAUCUGUGCAGCAAACAGCAACCACGAUGAGCUGCUAGUUGUCCCGCGCUUCUUGUGUUCGAUAAAAUGACCGCACCAAUAAAUCGUGUAGUAAACUGUGUCAUUGAUCGCAGCCCUUUUCGUCGUCACAGCUCGCGCAUUUCGUGCUCGAUGAAAGCCCCAAGCCGUGGACAACAUGCAUGCAUGCGCGACCCGAGUCGGCCAGGUUGUUUGAUGUGUGCGAUUUGUAGUUUGUCUAAUUAUGUUUUGGUUGAUGUGGUGUAUAUUGGUGUUUGAAUAUGUAUGGGUAUAAAAUGUUUUGGUUAUAUGCAUUGGUUGGGUCACCUUCACGAUUUAGAGAACAAGGAGUUGUUUGAUGUGAAAAGUGAGUUUGAAUGCAAGUUAUUCUGUGAAGGGUAUAUUAGUUCUAUGCAUGCAUGUGUGAUUGACAGGAUUACAUGCAUGAUGAAUUUAGUAAAAAUCCAUCGGUGUCACUUGUGUUUAAGUUGAUGUUUAUUUGUGCAUGGAAAGUAGUAAUGUAAUUAAUACUUAGAAGGCUUAGACGAUGGAAGUAAUUGUCGGCGUUAUUAUGUCGAUUUUGUUGCAUGGCGAAUAAUUGCCUUCGCUUGUAUGGCAAAGAGAUGUUUCGCUUUAAUAGUCAUCGUCUUCACUAAGUAGUGAGUGGAUAAAUGUCAUGAUUAUUGAUUGGAGGUUCUACGAGAGUGCUAUCGCUGUCCAAAAUUUAUCGGAAGCAAGUAGCAUUCAUAAGUCGGUCCUUGUUGAAAUUGAAGAACAAUCCGAUAAGAUAUGCACCUAAGCGCUUUAGAUCCUUCAGUAGUAAAAUGUAGUCUUAUGGAGUUUUAUGCCAUGUGUUAACGCUCUUCAUGUUAGAUCUCCUAAAAUGUGGUGUUUUAGGUAACUUGUGUGUUAUCCAGUUUAAGUUGAGAAAUGGUUAAGAAAACCUAAUUAAUCUGCUCCUACCCAUGUUUUGAGUUGAAGUGUCUAAAAUGGUUUGUUAAGUUUUAUACUGUGAUAGCCAACUCUUGUUAAGUAGAAGGAGUCAAUUGCGUUAAGUGAUUGUAUAUAUAUGUGUCUCUAGCGCUCCAAAUAGCUAGAAAUGUUAAUUAGUAAACAAAUGGUAUAAUGAAUGAUGAAUGGUUAAGUCUUCCUAAAGUGGUACACUUCUCACAAUUGGUAAAGUAAAAUUGUAAGAGUCUAAUGGUUAGUUAACUUCAAUCAACCUUAAGUUAGCAAAUGUAGUGAUAUGGUCGAAGCAAUGGAACUAGUUAUUAAUAUAUACAAACAUAUAUGUAUAACACUUGAGUAUAUGAGGUUUUGUGCCUUGAUGUCAAUUACUAGUUUAUAACGAAGUCAUGAUAAAUUAGACUUGAGAAUUGGUGUUAGUAUCUCUCUAUAAUUUUGCUUGGUGAUUUAGUUGAAUGCUCUUGUGCUAGCAAACUAAAAUUCAUGUGUGUACAGUUUUGGUUGUGGGAUUAAUCUAGCAAAGUAAAGUGUGUUCUCAGUAGAUAUGUGCUAUAUAAAAGUUAUAGUUCACUUGUGUAUCUAGCCCGUCCUAAAAUUUCAUGAGCUAAAAAUUAAUGGUUUAGAAGUUAUGCUUUUCACAAAUUCAGUACCUGAAUCUGUCCAAUUUAUGUACAGAUUUUAGAGAUUGCAAUGUUUGUUUAAGUUCAGCUUAGGAUCAGUUCUUGUCGAUCAUAAGUAAGAUGUAUAUAACUUCCUUAUCUUGUUGGUGUUAAAAUUUCGUAACCAUAGGCCUGAUAGUUAAGAGUUAUGAAUUUUACAAAAUGAUUGCUCUAUUAUGUCCACUGUCUGGACAGAUUUCGAAAACUGUAUUGUUUGGGUUGAUUAAAAUAUGAACCACUUCUUGGUGAUUAUACAAAUUAAGUAGUUCUUUUAUUAAGCUUUCUAAAAAGUCUUGGGCCAUCCUUUUUGGUGGUCUAAAGCUCAAGUAUAGAUGUUUUAAGUAUGAAGACUGAAUCUGUCCAGUUAUGGACAGCAAGACAUUCAUAGUGUAUUUUACCCUUAAUACAUAUUAAAACAACCUGAGAUGUUUAUAAAUAAUUGGUAGACAAUUUCAUUAGCUUUCCAUAAAGUCUAGGAUCAAUUGAUUUGGAUGUCUGGGUAUUUAGUUAUGAAUUUUUGAAGUCACAAGUCUGAAUCUGUCCAAAUCUAGAUAGAGCUGUCGUUUAUCACUAUUUAACCUUGUUAAGUGUAUAAUCGCCUUGAGAUGAUAAUACCAAAGUUGUAGAACGUUUCUUAAGCUUUCCAAAAAGUAUCUGUUCACUGUUUUUGGAUAAAUAUCUUGUGAUUUAUAACUAAAACAAUCAACUGUUGUGCUGCUGUCCCAAACAUGUUGAAUGUGAUUGAUUGCUCUACUCCGUUGUGCUGUUUUGAGUCGACUGCUUGCUUGUGUUGGUCUUGGCUGAACAAGUAAUAAUGAUUGCAACUAAUAUAAUUGAGCCUAAAUGUAUAAGUUACUAGUACACAUCUCACUAAGUUAGUGUACUAAUUUGGUUAAGGUAGUAUAAUAUGUAAUUUGCUCACAAAGUGAAUAAUGUACUCUCUCUUUAACUUUCUGCUAGUCCUAGAUACUACUAAGUAACCAACCUUAUAAAAGUAGUAUAAUAUGUAAUUGUGAUUAAACUAUCUACUUGUGUGUGUUCUCUUGGAUGUGUGCUUGCAUGAGAAUCUUAUGAAUGAUUGUAGAACCUAAUUAAAUAAUCAUUCCUUUUAACUAAAUCUGCCUAUAUAAAAGCCAUAGCAAAUUUAUGUGUACUUAACUAGUUUAAUAAUAAGUAGCCAAUGAACGAUUAAACUGAACAUGGUAAAUGUUUGUACUCGUGGUGUCGUGUUUGUGUUGGUUAAAUAUAGGAAAUGUUCGUCGUCUUUCCAGUAAUGUUGACUUGUUGUGCCCGAGGACGUAUAGAUAGCUAGGGUUCACGUAUGGAUGUUUAUGUCUCUUACUAGUUAAUGUUAGUUCGCUACCAUGUACUUGGAGUAUCUUGUGCUACUUUCAUCAUAUUCAUACAUAUGCAUCCUGCAUCUCAUUCAGGACCAAGAGAUGAUGACCGUGCAAGUGAUGUGGUGCCAACCACAAGAUGCAGUUGGUGAACGAUCCAAAGAAUGAUGGACUUAACCAGUAGAUUCUUACCAAGCGAGUGUCAUCUAUCAAACACUAUCUAGUGUGGAUUCCAGGCAAGCCCUAGUUUUAUAUAUAAUUGUUUAUAUAUGUUAUUUUACUACACUUAAUGUUUGUAGGAUUGUACUGUGCACUUAAGUGUAGGAGUUGUUUGGAACCCUAGUUGCACGAACUUAGGUUUCCUUUUAAGAUGGGUACUAGUAUGCUAGGUCGAGUAGCUGCUAUGCUAAUUUAGGAUCUCAGUAGAACUCGAGUGAUUUUUCUAGCACUCGCGCGAGGUGUAACACCCUAAAAAAUCGUGCCUUGAUUACUGGGAAAGGUUCUUCAAAGUAUUUAGAUUAAAAUAUCUUUUAAUAAGGAUUUUAUUGGUUUGGGAUCAUUUUCUUAAAAAAUAAUACUAAAUUUUACUUUGGUUAUUCAAAGAUAAGAAUAGAUCUAGAAACUAAAAUCUGAAUUAGGAAGUACAUAAAGAUAUAUGAGAGUAUCAUUAAAUUUUGAUAUCGCAAAUAUAGAAGUGGCCUAUUAAAUUUAAUAUUUCAAACUCAGAAAGAGAUGAUAGAAAGAUUUAUGUUAUUAAGUUUGAGUAAAACUGUUCUUUCAUGAACUGUACAUGGAGAAGUUGUGCCUAAAUAAAUAAAAUAACUAACAUAUAUAUAUGUCAUUGCAUUAAAUGCUGAAUUUUACUUGAUGGUGCAUUAUGCGUGAGUUUGAAAUUUGUUCAAAUCUGAAAAUUUAAAUUUAAUUUGAAUCAAGGAAACUGAAAAUAGAAAACAAAAGGAAAACAGAAAAAUACAAGGAAAAAAGGAAAAACAUUGUUUGUGCCCAAUUUUCGGUCGGACUGCUCACCCUCACCCUUGGUCGGCCCACUCCCUUCUCCCACUCACAGCCCAACCACCUCGGCCCAGCUUCUCAACCGCGCGCACGCAGUCGGCUGACGCCUGGGGCCCAUGGAUCAGCUUCUCAUCACCAUCGCUGACUAGGUGGCGCCCACCUGUCUGUAACCGAUUCCACGCGUGGGUCGUGCCCACUAGAGAAUGGGUCCCGCAUGUCAGCGCGUUCGUCUCCUUCGCAACGACGGGCGUAAAAGUCGCCGCCAUGGUCGGGUCGUGGGUGACCUUAUCCGAACCAGGGCCUAGGAGAUAAAGGAGCACCCCCGUGACCCGUUCCUCUCCCCUACCACCACCUCGCGCGAGCCUAGUUCCCCAGAGCAAACCGACACCACCACCGCCUCUGUGAGGAAGAAGAGCAGCCGCGGGGGGGGGGGGACUCCGAAGUCGAUGGCACCUAGGCCUUCGGUAUUGUGCCAACAUCCUCUGCAAGACCGAAGAAGGGAGGUGCUGGCCGUGCCGCCUAGAAUUCGCCUCCGGCUCUGCUCUAAUUGCUCGUCGGAGCGUUUCCUCGCUUUGGAUCCGCCGCUGCGUCAUGGGAGGCAUCACUGGUGCGACAAACUGUGGUAAGUACUCUUCCACCCAACUCGCCUUCACCUCCUCCACGUGUAGCCGCCUGUGUAGCAUGUUUUGGAGGCCUCGCAUGCGGGUUGGCCGGCUCCGGCGAUGGCGUCUGCCAUGGGAGGGCGGCGCCGCCGUGUAGAGACAUUAGGAGAGGGAAGAAGGCCCCCCUGGUCGUCCGAUCGCCAGUGGGUGGUUUAGAUCGAAAUAGAGUAUCCCUGUGCGCCAAUUAAAAUCCGAGCCCUUGGAUUGGUGGCGUGCGUCCGAGAUCAAAUGUGUACGUGGACAUCCUACCGACCCUCAAAUAUGGAUCUGACGGUCAGUAGUGCGUAUCGAUUCAUAGGAUUGCAUAAUUUAAUCUCGACCGUUCACUUCAGAUCUGUUCAUACCCAUUCGACCGAUAGACUUUACUAAAGAGACCCUGCACUUCUCUCGAAUUAACCCGCAGUCCACGCUGUGGCGCUCUGAGUCAUUGUAUAUUUCGCAUAUAAGCCCCCGUGCUUCCAGUUAUUCAUGCGCCCAGUCCAGGAAACUAGAAAAUUUGAAAUAGGAAAUGAUUUUUAAUGAGAAAAUAAAUGCUAGAACUUGGUUUAAUUCAUAGAAAAUUCAUAUGAAGUCCAAAUUAAUCCAUUCCAAUUCCUAUAAUUUUGUAAUAUUAUUGUUUAUCAUUUAUUACCACUGUUUUGACAUGAAUGUCACAAUAAAAUCUAUAUCAUAUUUAAUCUUGUAUAAAACAUAUAAAACCUUCAGAAAUUCAUAACUCAAAAUCUAUAACUCAAAAUUUAAUGAUUCCUGUUCCUAUGAUCUUAUUUUAAUAUGUAGAUUAUUAAUAUGUAUUUUGUAUACAUGAUUGGUGUGAUGUUAAUUUUUUCUAUACCAUGUUUGUUUGUAUUGCUACGACUAGCAGUGAGGUCACGAGGAUCUAAAGAAUCAUCCUAGUACUUGGAAUCUGAAGUGCCAGGCAAGUUGUGCCCUUGACCACUUUUGUUACCCAAUAAUGUUCUUUAUUAUCACUUAUUCAUGCAUAGGUUUAAUUUUGAUGGGACCCAAUAGGUCACCCUAGAUUGUUUAUCUUUUUACCUUGUUUACCCCUGAAUCAUUGGGUAGUUAUGCUAUUGCUUUACAUGGUUUUGGGUUAAUAUUUCAUUAUAUCCAUGUUCCUAUUAUUUUGUUAUGUUAUUUAUGUUCAUGAUAAGAUCAUUAUGUUAAUGGGAACAUGGAGAACCACCCGGGAAAACAGUGCCACCACAAGGGUGGUAUGGGACGCCCUUGUCUGACUAAUUAGGAAAGCUAGUGAAAGACUACCUUACCUGAAAGGGGCAAGGGCAGUAGGGGAUUGCAUGCAGGGAGGUUCUCGGGUUGAUUUUUCUGCGAUGGCAGUGAGACGAGGGAUUCUUGCAAGUGCUCUUCCCAUAAACCGUAGCAUGUUUUUCGAAGCUAGUGGAACUUUGUAAAGGCCUCAUAGUGGAUCCCUAGCCAUUCACCUCGGUAGUGUCUAAGGGCUUUGCAAACCCAAGCGACAUGGGAUACACGACUUGUGGGUACAGGGUACAACCUCUGCAGAGUGUAAAACUGGUAUACGAGCCGUGCUCACGGUCAUGAGCGACUCGGGCACUCACAUGAUUAAUUUAUGUAACUUAAAUUCAAUUUGUCAUUUGCAUGGGAUUAUUUAUUAAUUUUGUUCUAUUAUUUAUUAUGGUUUGGUAUUUACUUACACUUAGUAAUUGCUAAUAAAAUCUGACCAACUUAUUAAAAACAAUGCUCAACUUUAACCCCUAUUGUUGAUCAGCUUUACACAUCACAUGAACUUCCACCUUUGGUGAGUUCAUGCCACAUUAUUCCCCACAACUUGUUGAGAGAUGAACAUGUGUGAGCUCACCCUUGCUGUCUCACACCCCCCAUAGGAGAAGAACUGGUGGUUCAAGAGGAGCCAGGCCACGAGGAGUUCGAUUUGAUCUAGGUGGUGUCUCCCAGUUGACUUAUUGGUGCUAAGGAUGGACUUAGUUCGUUCCAUAUUUAUGUUUUAUAUUGUAAGACUUCAGCUAUGUAAUAAGUACUCUAAUUAUAUUGUGACAUUUAUCUCUAUACACUCUGUUAUUAUAUAUGUUGUCUUCUUUGGCGCAUACAUGAGAUGCACCCGACUUUGUUCCUUAAAUUCGGAUGUGACACGAGGUCAGAAAUUGAUUGUAUCCACUUUGAUAUUGGAACUAUGAUGGUCUAUGGACAAGGAUCCAUGGGGAUGCCUUGUCUAUGAGAUGAAAUCGGAAUAAGGAUUAAUGUGUGGUACCGUGUGUCAAGCGUUUGAAAGUACUAAGCACAAGCCGAUAAAUAUGGUAAAUCAUUAAGCCUAGUACCCGAGUGAACCUGCCAGCAGACAUACCUCCCCACGUGUUUGUUGGAGACUUGUUCUCAAAUGCUGAGUUAAGAACAAGGCAACACAGAGAAUGUUAAACGUUAAAGCCAUUCGUCCUUCGAAGCAUUAUUUCCCUUGGAAUACAAUGAUUUUCGGACGAAGGUUAUGAAGGACAUACCUUCAUCAGCACAACAUAUAAUAAUGAAGAAGGAAUCAUAUGAAGUAUAAGAGAUAACAUAGACAAUUAUGUAUUAUUAUUAACUCAUUUCUAUUUUUUUAUUAUGGAGAAAUAGAAAUGAUAUCAUAUUACAAAUGUACCUUCGGCUUGAAAGAAGGUAAGAGUACAAGCGUGACGCAAAAGCAAAUGCCAAGUCAGCGUGAGUAGUACGGGAGCACUGUUCAUCUAUUUAUAGGCACGGGACGCAGCCCAUGUAAAAUUACACUCAUGCCCUUUACAUUUGCUAAUGACUCUAUAGUAACCCAUCGAGGUCUAAAUAGCCUUUUCCUUUUUAAGUUGGUUUCCUUUUCUUCUAUAGUGCCGAAGCUCUCCUGGACAUAGCUUCGGCUCUACGCUAACCUUCGUGUUCUUUGUGCUUCUUCAUACUAUGCUUCUGAUCCGAAUCCGAAGAUACCUGUUCAUGUAUUGUACUCCACAAACAUUGUUAAAUCAUGUUUUUGAGGACCUUAGGAAGCCAAAGGCCCCCAACAGUAGCCCCUCGCAAUAUUAAUUUGUUAGAAUGAUAAAUUCAGAUUGCGAUAUGGAUGAAGGCCCUAAGCCGAAGGUCCGAAAAAACAUCUUCCCUUUGCUAGAAUAGCAAUAGUCAAUGACAAGCGGGGCCCUCUAGCUUGCAACACACUAGGCGUAUAAAUAAGAGCACACCACGAGCUCAUUUGACAUGCUUUUUGCCAUCUGCUCUACUUGCUCAAUUUUUAGCUCUUGCCUACCAACGCUUGCUUGGCUUUUUAAAUUCUCUAAGCUUCGGCUUUAAGAGCGCUUUUUCACCAUUUCCGAAGAGAAGAUGUCUCAAGAUAAGAAAACUGUUGCUGAAACGAAGCUGAGCGAGGAUGAGAAGCUUCUUAUGGAAAAAACCGCUGAAUUCAUCGAGUCAAUUUCAAAGACCAACACAGAAAAGAUUACAAAAGAAAUUCUAGAAGGGUUAUCUGAAGAUACCGAUGACAGAGAUAGUUAUGAUGUGGAAAGUGGGGGCGAAGACUCCGAAGAUCGGCCGUGGCGACCAAGUCACACAGUCUUCGGAAAAUUAACUAUCAGGCAAAGUCAUCUUGAUAACAUGAGAGGAAGGUAUUUUCGAGACAUAUCCAUCGUGAGGGCUGACAACAGAGACAGGACUGCUCCUGCUCCUGAAGAAAAUGAAGUCAUAAUUUACCGAAGCUUCUUCAAGGCUGGGCUUCGGUCCCCCCUAAGCAGUUUUGUGGUUGAAGUUUUAAAGAUAUACCAGAUUUUUCUUCACCAGAUUACUCCCGAAGCCAUCAUAGGAAUGGGAAUCUUCAUAUGGGCUGUGAGGAGCCAAGGUUUGGAACCAAGUGCAAAAGGUUUCUGCAGUAUGCACGAACUUUUAUAUGAGACGAAGCCCUGGGGUAAGGAGCAAUAUCACAACAAUUUUGGUUGCUAUAGCUUCAUUGCUUGUUCAGGCUCAAUCUGCCCAGUGCCAACCUUUCGAAAGAGAUGGCCUGGAGACUGGAUGAAAGAAUGGUUCUAUGUGAAAAAUGAUUUAAGGGCGAGGGAAUAUAUUAAAGAGGUCAUAAUGCGCCCCAUCUGGUCCCGCUUUGGCCUUCGGAAACCGAAGGUAGAGAUUGAUGAAGCGGCUGAAGAAUGCCGAAGGGCCUUUGGCAUAGUUUGUUCUUUCAUCGGGACAAGGGACUUAGUCCAAGAGCACGUGGCCUUCAGGAUAUGGCCAUUGGUAGUCAACUGGGAGAUGCCAAAAGAAACCAUCAGCAACCCCAAUGAAGGUGGUUUGGUUCGACUGAAAUAUACCUUCAGGUUUGGAGACCAAUUUGUCGAACCAGACGAUGACUGGCUGAAGUGCAUCGAAGCUACAAGUGAUGAACUGCUUGGGCCGUACUCCAAAGCGGAAGAUAAUGCGCUAUCUGUGGCCUUCGAAAGCCGGAAGAAGAAAAGACUAAAUAGAGUUUUUGAUGCUAUUGGGUUCAUGUACCCUGACUACCGCUACACGUCACGAGGGCAGAAAAGAAAAAGUGCAACUUCCGGGAAGGAUGAUGCUUCAGCUGCUCCAAGCAAGCCCGCGCCGAAGAGGAAAAAGGUGAAGGUUCUUACUCACCGGUCGCGAUAUAUUGAACCGGCCGUAGUGCCCGAAUUUGGCGGUGAAACCUCUUCGGCUACUGAAGCCAAGGAUCCUGCGCCUAUACAGAAGAUUGAAGAGCCGGCCGCAAUGCCGAAGGCAUCAUCGAUCAAAUUAGCUGAGCCGGCCAUAAUGCCGAAGGCCGAUAAUAUUGAAGAGAUAUUAGAAGUUAUAAGCCCUUCGGCAGAAAUGUCAGUGCCGAAGGCACAAAAAGAUCUUAUAGCGACCCCAAGAGGAAAAGGAUGGUCAACGUACUAGAUGUGCUGGAGAUGAUAAAAACAAGCUCUACUCCAAGGAAAUCAGCCGAAGCUCCAAAGACACAGUCUGAGACAAGAGUAACCGAAGCCGAAGCUACAAAGAGCCAGGCGGAAACCGAAACUGGUCCUUCAGAGCCCGCCAAGGAGAAAUCCUUGGAAAUCGGAGAAAAAGAAACGGAAAAAGAAACUACAGAACAAAUUUUGCCUGAAAAACAUCUUCCGAAGCUCUUGAUUAUUUUGUACGACAUGCUUCAGGAAAAAGGUUAUCUAAAGAAGAAAAGCAAGAAGCUCAAUACUAUGCCCGAAAACUGAAAUAUCCAAAGGGUGCAUUGAUAUUCGAUGGCAGCGGAGAAGAAGAUUUCCUGUAUUGUCUCCCGGACAGCAAGGAAAUUUCUGUCUGCCGGGAGAUGGGCAAAAGCUUCGGAUUCCCGACACUAGAAGAUGGGCUUUCGGUGCUAUCGAAAGAUGAACUGGCGGACAUCUUAGCAUAUAAUAGUUUAAAGGUAUGAGAAUGAUUUUUUUGUAUUUAAAAACAAAAAAUUGUUUUAUUUGCUUAUACUUAAUAUCACACUUCUUUUUGCAGGGUCUGAUUCUUAGCAAUGCCCUUAGGGCUCAGAAAAAUGCCGAAGACGAAGGAUGUACUAUAGCUCUGAACAACCUUCGUUCUGAAGUAAUUGAACUAAGGAAUGAAGGUCUUGAAAAAGAUAAAAUCCUAAAUUCAUUGGUGAACAAAAUAAAAGAAGACGAAGUUACUUUCAAAACCCAAGCUGAAGCUCAGAAAUGCGAAAUUGAAGAUCUUCGGAAACAGCUGGCUGAAGCAAAAUUGAAAUGUGCUAUUGCUGAAGCUGACCAAGACGCCAGUGACUACUGUAAAAAAUACUGGGAAAAAACAGUUGUAGAGCUUCGAUCUUUAAAAGAAAGAUGCUAUGAAAAAUCUGUAGCAUGUGUAAAAAAAUGAAAACUAGUUUCGCCAAUGUUGGCGCAUAUUCUAGUGAAGACAACUUUGUACUGGGCGAUCCCGAAGGUCCAAUUGAAUGGAUCAGCGGCGAGGUCGAUGCCUUUGAGGAGAUUUUGAAUGGUCGCGGGGACGUCUGUGCCUUUUCUGGUGCAAGAGGGGUCACGGCUAUUUUGGAGAAAGCGGGGUGCGAACAUGUGAAAAUUCUGGCCCAAGCCGAAGUUGCUUUCUCUAUUGAUGACAUGAAGGAUCACUCAGCCGAAGCAAGCUUAGUUGGUGGAAAAUUCUUUACUGACAUAUGGGAGAAUGGCGGCCGAGGGACAACUCACUAAAUAAUAAAGAAAAGCGAAAAAGACACCCACGAUGCUAGAGAAGCAACGAAGGUAGCUGAAAGAGCUGCAGAACUCGAAAGGCGGAUAAGUAUUGCUUAAUAGCUUUUGACUUUAUAUUUUAUUUUUGUAACUUCGAACUUAUUUAUGCUUUCUACCACAGCCGAAUUAUCUCCUCCCCCGGAGCCCUUCGAGCCACUGGCCGAAACAGAGGCAAAAGAAUCAUAAGAGAUUAUUAGCAUGGCUUAACCAUUAUGGACGAAGUUGUUACUCAACUACUGACCAAAGCUGUAGACAAGGUUUUGAAAGAAGAAGAAUAGAUAUUGUAAAAAUAUUGCCAAAAUAUUAAUGUAAUAUUUGCUGGACUAUGCUUGUAAUAUUUGGUACUCAUGAGUUCUUAAUGUAAUAUGUAAAUGACUUUGUAAUCUAUUUCUUUGUGAUGCAUGAAAUUUUUAUUGUACAUACCGUUUUUGAGCCUUCGGCGAAAAAACACCUUCCCUUCUUUUCAUGCUUCGUAAAGAAGAGUUUUUAUGCUUCGUGAGAAAUCCUCCAAUCAUCGUAGAAACAUUAAUGCUUCGUCAGUAAUAGACUUUCUUCCUUGAUAUCAAAGUGCUUUAUAGAAAUGCUCCAAGCGUCGAUAUAACACCGAUACUUAGUCAAUAAAAGACCUUCUCUUCCUCUUUAGAGCUGAUAAAACCGUAUCUCUUCAAAACUUAUUUUGUGCCUUAGCACAAUUUCACUUUUUCGAAGCAUUCUUCGAAGAUCAACAUUAUGUCCCCUUCUUGUGCCAUUGAUGCAAUAUGAUGUAUGAUGUUAUGUUAUGUGAAAUGAUGUGAUGAUGUUAUGUUAUGCAAAAUGAUAUUUGUGCCAAAGACACACACACAUCCCCAUAGUGGAAUAUUCAAUCUUUUUGCCGUUUAUUUUUCGGCUUCACCGCUUAUUUUUCGGUGUAUCAGCGCUGACAUUCCGUUGUAAGCCUCCCUUAGGAGCUUCUUCGCCUUCUAUUUCGGCGGUAUCAGCGUUGAAUUUUCGCUGUAAGCCUCCCUUAGGAGCUUCUUCGCCUUCUAUUUCGGCGGUAUCAGCGUUGACUUUUCGUUGUAAGCCUCCCUUAGGAGCUUCUUCGCCUUAUAUUUCGGCGGUAUUUGGCUCUACAUUCCCUUUGGAACGACUUUUGAGCAGAAAACUUACACUAUGCUCCCUUAAGACUGACUUUUUGUAGCUUCAGCAAACUUACGUUGUGUUCCGUAGAACGACUUCGGCAAUUUUUUGUAGCUUCGGAGAUACUUGUGACUUAAAAGCGACUCUUUUGUGUUUCGGCGACUUUUUGGACUCCAUGAAUCUGUGGAGAAUAUAUAUAUUUCACUACGGCAAGGACGAAGCUAUUACAAGAAAUUGAAAACGACAAAAGAACUAGGCUCUCAAUGAUUGUUCCUUAUUGAAAAAGAAAAUGAUAACGAAUAUAAAGACUGUUUCAGGGGUAGGAUAUCUCUUAGUAGAUAUGCUUCGAUUCUGGCACAGUACUGUUGACUGUGCGAGCUUCGGACUCCUCCCUGAAUUCUCACUGUUGAUGCGUAUGUUGGCUCCCUUCUGGUUGCUGGCCUCGGGAAUAUGCAGGUUGUAGUGGUGGCGGAGGUGGAGGCUGUGGCCAAGAUGCCUGCGGCUGACUGGCCGAAGCAACAGACGCUGCAGGAUGGUUACCCACAUACUCUAUGAUGUAGGGCGAGUGAUAUGAAGCAGCAUGCAUGACCUGCUUCGGCUGGUUCUACUGGGCUGCAGCUUCUGCUAUUUCUUUCUGUUUCUGAAUGGUGACAUGGCACAUCCUUGUACUAUGGCCCUUUUCCGCACCACAGAAUAAGCAAUACAUUUUCCUGGGUUGAUCCCCAAACCUUCCUCCGAUACCCCUGGCGCCUCUGCCCCUUGAAGCUGGCGGCCGAAGAUAGCUUUGUUGCUGCCCCGAAGCUUGCGAGGAAUAUUGUGGCCUCUGUUGCUGACUUCCUUUGUCGUCAUUCUGGGAGGAGUGAAUUGAUCUGACAUGCCUUGGGUGGAUUCUCCCUCCAAAGCCCCUGGUCAUCUCAGAGAACCUGUAGGCUUCCUCCCUUCUUUGACGAAAGUCAUUAUCAGCGCGGAUAUAUUCAUCCAUCUUUUGAAGCAAUUUCUCCAGGGUCUGAGGGGGUUUCCUGGCGAAGUAUUGGGCCGUAGGUCCUGGCCGAAGCCCCUUGAUCAUGGCCUCAAUGACAAUUUCAUUGGGCACCGUUGGCGCUUGUGCCCUCAGACGCAAGAACCUUCGGACAUACGCCUGGAGGUAUUCUUUGUGAUCUUGCGUGCACUGGAACAAAGCUUGAACGGUAACCAACUUCGUCUGAAACCCUUGGAAACUAGUAAUCAACAUGUCCUUCAGCUUCUGCCAUGAUGUGAUUGUUCCUGGCCGAAGAGAGGAGAGUACCAGGUUUGCGCAACAUUCUUGACUGCCAUGACGAAAGAUUUUGCCACGACUGAGGUAUUGCCUCCAUAUGAGGAUAUGGUUGCUUCGAAGCUCAUCAGAAACUGCUUCGGAUCUGAGUGCCCAUCAUACAUGGGGAGCUGGGGUGGCUUGUAAGAUGGGGGCCAAGGUGUAGCCUGCAGUUCUGCUGACAGAGGAGAAGCAUCAUCAAAAGCAAAAUUUCCAUGAUGGAAAUCCUCAUACCAUUCAUUCAUUGAAGAAGCCUUCUUGGUGAAGCUCCCUAUGUUGGGGCCUUCGCUCUUGCUCAUCUUGAGCGAGAUGGCGUACUUCUUCAGUAGCUUCGUCAAUCUGCCUCUCAAGAUCGGCUAGUCGAGCCAUCUUCUCCUUCUUCCUUUGUACUUGUUGAUGAAGCAUCUCCAUGUUCCUGAUUUCUUGGUCCAACUCGUCCUCCUGGGGUGUUGGACUAGUGGCCUUCCUCUUCUGGCUUCGAGCCUCUCGAAGAGAAAGGGUCUCCUGGUUUGGGUCCAGCGGCAGCCCCUGUCGCUGAAGCUUUCUUCGGUGGCAUGACGAAGGUCAAUGCUUGCCGAAGGUGGUAGAAAAGAGUUCACCGGAGGUGGGCGCCAAUGUUGGAGACUUGUUCUCAAAUGCUAUGAGUUAAGAACAAGGCAACACAAAGAAUGUUAAAUUUUAAAGCCCUUCGUCCUUCGAAGCAUUAUUUCCCUUAGGAUACAAUGAUUUUCGGACGAAGGUUAUGAAGGACAUACCUUCAUCAGCACAACAUAUAAUAAUGAAGAAGGAAUCAUAUGAAGUAUAAGAGAUAACAUAGACAAUUAUGUAUUAUUAUUAACUCAUUUCUAUUUUUUUAUUAUGGAGAAAUAGAAAUGAUAUCAUAUUACAAAUGUACCUUCGGCUUGAAAGAAGGUAAGAGUACAAGCAUGACGCAAAAGCAAAUGUCAAGUCAGCAUGAACAGUACGGGAGCACUGUUCAUCUAUUUAUAGGCACGGGAUGCAACCCAUGUAAAAUUACACCCAUGCCCUUUACAUUUGCUAAUGACGCUAUAGUAACCCAUCGAGGUCUGAAUAGCCUUUUCCUUUUUAAGUCGGUUUCCUUUUCUUGUAUAGUGCCGAAGCUCUCCUGGACAUAGCUUCGGCUCUGCGCCAACCUUCGUGUUCUUUGUGCUUCUUCAUACUAUGGUUCUGAUCCGAAUCCGAAGAUACCUGUUCAUGUAUUGUACUCCACAAACAUUGUUAAAUCAUGUUUUUGAGGACCUUCGGAAGCCGAAGGCCCCCAACAGUGUUCAUCAGACAGGGUAUCCCAUUCCGGUUAUGAUGGGUACAAGUGCGGUCACUGCACAGCGGCGGCCGAGGUCAGUGGAUCAUUGUAUGCCAAUGAUAGUGGGCCCUGAUCUGCUGCCGGGGAAUCGAUGGGGAAGAUUGACGUGUGUGUGGAUGGAGUGCUCCUACAUGUCGUGUGUUUAGGUUUCCCUUGCAAGGUUUAAACUCGAUUCGAAUCGUCUGCUUAUCGCAGCUAAUGAGACUGCUUGAUACGUGUUGCUACAUUGAGUAAGUGAAAUGAGUUUUCAUGAGAUAAAGUGUUGCUUGCACUAAAUGUUUGUUACCAUGUAUGUUUAGAAGGAUAAAUCCUAGCUUAAGGAAUAUUAUUAAACUUGCAAAAGCUAAAAUUUGAUUUUAGACUCAUUUAGUGCUUUUGGCAAACCAAACCCCUCAACCAAACAGCUUCAUGGUCUAGAGGUAGAGGAGUAGACUCCUCACACCAGGUAAGUCUAGCUGAGUAUUAGUAUACCCAGCCUUGCUUGUGGCAUAAUUUUUACAGGUACCUUCGAGGAGGAUAUGGUUUCUGGGUUGACUUAGUCGUCCACCUUGCCACCCGGCUGGACAGUCGAGUGGAACCCCACCUCAACAGGUGAUGACCAGGAGGAGUGAUGGACCAGGCUUCGCCACACUUCUUAUUUAUCGUUAGUUCAAUUCCGCUGCAACAAGAACAAUGUUUACUAUUUUCAAACUCCGAUGAUGAUGUAAUAACUCUAAGUACUUAUUUAAAUUUAUGGAAUUAUGCUUUAUUGUAUUUCUCUAUGUGUCACCAUCGUGUGAGCAAGUACCACCCGAUCCUUCGGAAGUGACUUCAAUCGGACUAGAUCCGAGGAAUUGAUAGUCUAUUCCGUCUUAAGUGUGGGCCAUUGCCCUUGAGGUGAGACCAAGGCACUUAAGCUGGAAUAAUCUGGGCGGUUUCGCUACAGCUGGUAUCGGAGCGAGUACCACUUCAGAGAAGUCAAUAAGUCAUAGAUACCAACUUUUCAAAAGUAAAACUUGCUUAGAAACCAAGUUCGAUAUAUGUCAAGACGAUAAGGAUAGACCUAGGACGUGAAUCCUUAGGAAAUAGAUGGGUAUCUAGGUGACUAUUUAUAUAGGCCAUAAAGACUACUACUACUAUUAGGUAGGAUGUUGUAGCAAGCACCCAAAAUGUAGUUAGGUCUGAGAAGCUGACUAGAAGGAGCAUGCAUCCUAGUUAUCGCAUCAUUGUUUCUUGUGCAUCAACAAGCUUCUCUUACCUUUAUUCCAAUAACAAGAAAUCGUGAAUAAUGUGAUGUAUUGCCACAUUGUGAACUAUAAGAAAUGCCUUGUCUUGUGUUGUUAUGAUAGUUUUGAUUAGGUUGUGUUAUGUGUUCCUCUUGCCUUGCUAUCUAGGGGAUGUGUGUUCAACCCGUUUUGCCUCUAACUGGCAAAAAACUUGUUGUUUGUUCUACUCAUAAAAAGACCACCUCAAAAUAGCCUUGUGAUUAGCAGGUGAAACCCCUUAAAAAAUCACAUGCUUGUGUUAGUGUUUUCUAUCCCUUGUGUGUUUCACCCUUGAAUUUACACUUGCAUAGCUUGCGGCUUGUAAAUCUCUAUAGCUUGACUGCCAGAUCGACCCAAACUUCCUUGUACACAUGUUUAUGUCACAAAAAAUCGUUUGGUGUCUAGUUGCGCAAACCAUGUCCAAGCCAUGUUUCUCUCCGUAAAUCCUUGCCCCAAAACUUCAUAGCAUUUCUACUGAUCAUCCAAGCUGAUCUUGUUUGCCUACCUCUCCUUCGUCUGGAUCUAGUAAUCUUUUCCCUUUUGGAUCAUGUUCCGAUCUUAUCUGGUCAAUCUCUAGAACAAUUCAUUGAUUCUACCAUGUCGUCUUGUCAUCUACUCCAACUCACUCUCAAGUAUCAGAUGUGGAUCAGUCUAAUAUCUUAUUCUGACCAUUCUCAUACUCUUUCUACAAGAGCCAUGACGUCGCUUUAUCAGCUAUCUCUAUAAAAAACAUAUCCAUGUGGAUUAAUGGAUUUUGUUGUUGUCCUUGGUUCUCUCAUGUCUCUGUAAGUUUAUCGAAUUGAUCUCCUGACAGCCUCCUCUUCACAUCCCAUCUCUUAUAAAUCUAUGACUUGAUAAUCCCUACGGUGAUCAUGAAAUAGUUCGUGGAGUCGAAGAAAAUUCUCAUGUGAUGCUAUUUUUGCUAGCAUUCUCUACUUCAAUUCAUGUCAUAUUAUUAUUCCUCCGAGCCAUACUCUCAUGGGCUCCCUCUAUCUGUGCCACAUAGGUUUCUUAUUUGUUAUGUUUGGUAAUGGUGUUAUGACUAAACGACUAUUGGUGCCACGACAAAACUGAGAGCCUCCUAUGGGUGUACGCAUAAGGUUGAGCUGCUCGGCACGCGCUGGUAUCGUGGUUAAUAGUCGUGAUCCUUUAUGGAACUAUGCCGAUGUGCUAUCUUUUGUGGACAAUUCUCUCAAAGUGAUCGCUGCAUUUUGUCUCAAUAUGUCGCGAUGUUCGGUCCAAAUCUAUCUUUCGUAUCUUGCCAAAUAACAUCUCAUGAUUUGGCAUCUACCUUCAGCGUGGGAGUUACAUCAUGCUUCUCUACCCUUAAAGAUCCUAAUUCGAAUCUCACGACGAGAUUCUUUUAAGGGGGGAAGGCUGUGACACCCUAGGUGUCUAUUUUGUGAUAUGUCGUGAGUUUUGUCCUAAGCUUGGAUGCUCAGUGAAAAUUUUUAUUUCUCCAUCGUGUCUAUCUCUGUUUAAUAGGAUUAUUCAUGGAAGUUCACUGAAUUCGGAGUUAUUCGAUCUUGAGACAAAUGCCGAAAUUGGAGCGUGUUAAAACUUUUUAUUUCUCGGAACGAAUACAAACUCAAUAAUCAAUCUCGACUUAUAAAUCUCAUGUAAAGCUCAUUUAAUCAACUCUCGGCUAUUAUUAUUUGAUCUGUGCCCGAGUCCAAUUCCUCGAAAUUUGAUCUAUGUUCGACUAUUUUAUCUGGAUCCGUACUCUCAAACGGAAUUCUCUGUUACGUCAGUCCCUAAUCAAUUCUUAUCUGACUCAGCCUAAUAUAUCUAUGUCCGAAACAGACUCAAAACCCGUAUCGGCAGUGAUUUUAAAAUGUCACGAUUCACCUUCUCCGACUAAAAAUCCAAAGCUAAUCGAAAUCUUGAAAUGAAAAUUAGUUUCCAAAAUAGUGCACGAGAGAAUUUCAAAGUGACGCCAAAAUCAAAAUGCUCGAUCCAAAUUAAGCACUCGAUCGUCUGUCAUCUGGACGCCGGUUGUUUUUCGUUCGUCACACCGGUUCGAGUUUUCUCAUAGGUGAAUCAUCGCUCAAAACCAGGGAUAUUUUUUGGGUUUCUUAGCUUAGAAGCAAUCCUUGCUUCUCCCCUAAGUGAGCUCAAGGGAAACCCUAACCCUAGAGCUUCUCUAUAAAUAGAAGUGCAUUCCCUUGCAAAUUGAAAUUUUCCAUUCCCCCCUAGCUGCCACAGCCCUUCUUCCUCCUCCCGGUCACCCUCUUCUUCACUGCAUCUCCAUGCUUGCCCCCCAGCCGAGCUCGCCACUUGCCUCACUAGUGCCGGUUCCACCUUGGUCACGCCUGCCACUAUGAGCUCCCCACGUCGCCAUCUAUGGCAGCCACUUCCUCAACGCCUCCCUCUCGCCCCAGCACCAGAUUUCCUCCACUCGGCACCCCCUACAGGUGCAGCAGUUGAGCUCCUCCAUGGCUGCGUCCAAGGUCGGCUCCAGCCCCCCUCCUCUCUAUUCCUUGCGUAGAGGAACUUCUUCUCCAAGACCAGCGCUUUCCCCCUCCCUGCACCUCCCCUCCAUGCCGGUUCCCUGCUUCCCUCGAAUCCCAAUAGCGUGAGCAGGCGCCUUCCUCCAAGCGCCUCCAUGCUCCAAAAUCCGGUGAAGGCCUUGCCUCCAUACUAGCUCCCUUGGUCGGCGAGAUUCUCCAUCUCUGACGCUGGCCACCCCCUUCACCGCACGAUGUCUCCCCCACGCUCGACCUCGGCAUGGAUGCAGCAAGCCCCAUCGAUCUGCACAGCCCUGGCUGCCAUCAUUUCCCAGCACGUCGGCGCCGAGCUCUGCUAGUUGUCGAUCUGUGCAGCAAACAACAACCUCGGUGAGCUACUAGCUGUCCUGCGCUUCUCGUGUUCGAUAAAAGGACCGCACCAAUAAAUCGUGUAAUAAACUAUGUCAUUGCUCGCAGCCCUUGUCGUCGUCGCGCCUCGCGCAUUUCAUGCUCGACGAAAGCCCCAAGCCAUGGACAACAUGCAGGCAUGCGCGACCCGAGUCGGCCAGGUUGUUUCAUGUGUGCGAUUUGUAGUUUGUCUAAUUAUGUUUGGGUCGAUGUGGUGUAUAUUGGUGUUUGAAUAUGUAUGGAUAUAAAAUGUUUUGGUUUUAUGCAUUGGUAAGGUUGCCUUCGCGAUUUGGAGAACAAGGUGUUGUUUGAUGUGAAAAGUGAGUUUGAAUGCAAGUUAUUAUGUGAAGGGUAUAUUAGGCCUAUGCAUGCAUGUGUGAUCAACUGGAUUAUGCGCAUGAUGAGUUUAGUAAAAAUCCAUCGGUGUCACUAUUGUUUAAGUUGAUGUUUAUUUGUGCGUGGAAUGUAGUAAUGUAAUUAAUACUUAGAACGCUUAGACGAUGGUAGUAGUUGUCGGUGCUAUUAUGUCGAUUUUGUUGCAUGGCGAAUAAUUGUCUUUGCUGGUAUGGCAAAGCGAUGUUUCGCUUUAAUAGUCAUCGCCUUCUCUGAGUAGUGAGUGGAUAAAUGUCAUGAUUAUUGAUUGGAGGUUCUACAAGAGUGCUAUCGUUGUAUAAAAUUUAUCGGAAGCAAGUAGCAUUCAUAAGUCGGUCCUUGUUGAAAUUGAAGAACAAUCUGAUAAGAUAUGCACAUACGCGCUUUAGGUGCUUCAGUAGUAAAAUGUAGUCUUAUGGAGUUUUAUGCCAUGUGUUAACGCUCUUCAUGUUAGAUCUCCUAAAAUGUGGUGUUUUAGGUGACUUGUGUGUUAUCCAGUUUAAGUUGAGAAAUGGUUAAGAAAAGCUAAUUAAUCUGCUCCUACCCAUGUUUUGAGUUACAAUGUCUAAAAUGGUUUGUUAAGUUUUAUACUAUGAUAGCCAACUCUUGUUAAGUAGAAGGAGUCAAUUGUGUUAAGUGAUUGUUAUAUAUAUGUGUCUCCAGUGCUCCAAAUAGCUAGAAAUGUUAAUCAGUAAACAAAUAGUAUAAUGAAUGAUGCAUGGUUAGGUCUUCCUAAAUUGGUACACUUCUCACAAUUGGUAAAGUAAAAUUGUAAGAGUCUAAUGGUUAGUUAACUUCAAUCAACCUUAAGUUAGCAAAUGUAGUGAUAUGGUCAAAGCAAUGGAACUACUGAUUAAUAUAUACAAACAUAUAUGUAUAACACUUGAGUAUAUGAGGUUUUGUGCCUUGAUGUAAAUUACUAGUUGAUAACUAAGUCAUGAUAAAUUAGACUUGAGAAUUGGUGUUAGUAUCUCUUUAUGAUUUUGCUUGGUGAUUUAGUUGAAUGCUCUUGUGCUAGAAAACUUAAAUUCUUGCGUGUACAUUUUUGGUUGUGCGAUUAAUCUAGUAAAGUAAAGUAUGUUUUCUAUAGAUAUGUGCUAUAUAAAAGUUGUAGUUUACUUGUUUAUCUAGCUCGUCCUAAAAUUUCAUGACGUAAAAAUAAUGGUUUAGAAGUUAUGUUUUUCACAAGUUCAGUACCUGAAUCUGUCCAAUUUAUGUACAGAUUUCAGAGAUUGCAAUGUUUGUUUAAGGUCAGCUUAGAAUCAGAUCUUGUCGAUCAUAAGUAAGUUGUAUAUAGCUUCCUUAUCUUGUUGGUGUUAAAAUUUUGUAACCAUAGGCCUGAUAGUUUAAGAGUUAUGAAUUUUACAAAAUGAUUGUUGUGUUCUGUCUACUGUCUGGACAAAUUUUGAAAACUGUAUUGUUUGGGUUGAUUAAAAUAUGAACCACUUCUUGGUGAUUAUAAAACUUAUGUAGUGCUUUUAUUAAGGUUUCUAAAAAGUUUUGGAUCAUCCUUUUUGGUGGUCUAAAGGUCUGUUUGGUGUGGCGCCUAUGCCGCCACACCGCGCCUAAUCCGCGGCGGCCAAAUCGGCCGCCACAGCUGAGGCUUGAAAAGUGUGGUGCAGUUUGGUGUGUGAAGCAGCACACCAAACAUGCCUUAAAGCUCAAGUUAUAGAUGUUUUAAGUAUGAAGACUGAAUAUGUCCAGUUCUAGACAACAAGGCCUUCAUAGUGUAUUUUACCCUUGAUACAUAUUAAACCAACCUAAAAAUGUUUAUAAAUAAUUUGUAUACAAUUUCAUUAGCUUUCCAGAAAGUCUAGGAUCAAUUGAUUUGGAUGCAUGAGUCUUUAGUUAUUAAUUUUUUGAAGUCACAAGUCUGAAUCUGUCCAAAUCUGGAUAAAGCUGUCGUUUAUCACUAUUUAACCUUGUUAAGUGUCUAAUCACCUUGAGAUGACAAUAUCGAAGUUGUAGAGUGUUUCUUAAGCUUUCCAAAAAGUAUAUGUUCACUAUUAUUGGAUAAAUAUCUUGAGAGUUAUAACUAAAAUAAUCAACUGCUGUGCUGCAGUCCCAAACAUGUUGAAUGUGAUUGAUUGCUCUACUCUGUUGUACUGUUUUGAGUCGACUGCUUGCUUGUUUUGGUCUUGGCUGAACAAGUAAUAAUGAUUGCAACUAAUAUAAUUGAGCCUAAAUAUAUAAGUUACUAGUACACAUCCCACUAAAUUAGUGUACUAAUUUGGUUAAGGUAAUAUAAUAUGUAAUUUGUUCACAAAGUGAAUAAUGUACUCUCUCUUUAACUUUCUGCUAGUCCUAGAUACUGCUAAGUAAUUAACCUCAUUAAAGUAGUAUAAUAUGUAAUUAUGAUUAAACUAUCUCCUUGCGUGUGUUCUCUUGGAUGUGUGCUUGCAUGAAAAUCUUAUGAAUGAUUGUAGAACCCAAUUAAAUAAUCAUUCCUUUUAACUAAGUCUGCCUAUAUAAAAGCCAUAUCAAAUUUAUGUGUACUUAACUAGUUUAAUAACAAGUAGCCAAUGAACGAUUAAAGUGAACAUGGUAAAUACUUGUACUCGUGAUGUCGUGUUUGUGUUGGUUAAAUAUAGGAAAUAUUCGUCAUCUUUCCAGUCAUGUUGACUUGUUGUGCCCAAUGACAUAUAGAUAGCUAGCGUCACGUAUGUAUGUUUAUGUGUCUUACUAGUUAAUGUUAGUUCGCUACAGUGUACUUGGAAUAUCUUGUGCUAAUUUUAUCAUAUUCAUACAUAUGCAUCCUGCAUCUCAUUCAGGACCGAGAGAUGAUGAUCGUGCAAGUGAUGUGGUGCCAACCACAAGAUGCAGUUGGUGGACGACCCGAAGAAUGAUAGACUUAACCAGUGGAUGCUCGUCAAGCGAGUGUCGUCUAGCAAACAUUAUCUAGUGUGGAUUCCAGGAAAGCCCCGGUUUUAUGCAUAACUGUUUAUAUAUGCUAUUUUACUACACUUAAUGUAUGUAGGAUUGUACUGUGCACUUAAGUGUAGGAGUUGUUUGGAACCCAAGUUGCAUGAACUCAGGUUUCCUUUCGAGAUGGAUACUAGAAUGGUAGGUCGAGUAGCUGUUAUGCUAAUUCAGGAUCUCGGUAGAAGUCGAGUGAUUUUUUAGCACUCAUGCGAGGUCAGGAAUUGAUUGUAUCCACUUUGAUACUGGAACUAUGAUGGUCUGUGGACAAGUAUCCAUGGGGAUGCCUUGUCUACGAGAUGAAAUCGGAAUAUGGAUUAAUGUAUGGUACCAUGUGUCAAGCGUUUAAAACUACUAAGCACAUGCCGAGAAAUAUGGUAAAUCGGUAAGCCUAGUACCUGAGUGAACCUGCCAGUAGACAUACCACCCCACGUGUUCAUGAGACAGGGUCUCCCAUUCUAGUUAUGGUGGGUACAAGUGCGGUCACUGCACUGCGGCGGCCGGGAUCAGUGGAGCAUUUUAUGCCAAUGACAGUGGGCCCUGAUCUACUGCCGGGGAAUCGAUGGGGACGGUUGACGUGUGUGGGGACGGAGUGCUCCUACAUGUCAUGUGUUUAGGUUUCCCUUGUAAGGUUUAAACUCGAUUCGAAUCGUCUGCUUCUCACAGCUAAUGAGACUGCUUGAUACAUACUUCUACAUCGAGUAAGAAGUGAAAUGAGUUUUCAUGAGAUAAAGUGUUGCUUGCACUAAAUGUUUGUUACCAUGUAUGUUUAGAAGGAUGAAACCUAGCUUUAGGAAUAUUAUUAAACUUGCAAAAGCUAAAAUAUGAUUAUAGACUCAGCUAGUGCUUUUGGCAAACCAAACCCCUCAACCAAACAACUUCAUGGUCUAGAGUUAGAGGAGUAGACUCCUCACACCAGGUAAGUCUAGCUGAGUAUUCGUAUACUCAGCCUUGCUUGUGGCAUAAUUUUUACAGGUACCUUCGAGAAGGAUAUGUUUUCUAGGUUGACUUGGCCGUCCACCUUGCCACCGGGCUGGACAGUCGAGUGGAAACCCACCUCAGCAGGUGAUGACCAGGAGGAGCGAUGGACUAGGCUUCGCCUCACUUCUUAUUUAUCGUUAGUUAAAUUCUGCUACAACAAAAACAAUGUUUACUAUUUUCAAACUUCGAUGAUGAUGUAAUAACUCUAAGUACUUAUUUAAAUUUGUGGCAUUAUGCUUUAUUAUAUUUCUCUAUGUCUCACCUUCGUGUGAGCAAGUGGUACCCGAUCCUUGGUAAGUGGCUUCAAUUGAACUAGAUCCGAGGAAUUGAUAGUUUAUUUCGUCUUAAGUGUGGGUCAUUGCCAUUGAGGUGAGACCAAGGCACUUAAGCUGGAAUAAUCUAGUCGGUUCCGCCAUAGGACGGAGAUGGCAUCGAGGCGUAUCGCUGAGCAAAGGUGAAGACGUGUGGGUAAAACUAAGUACCAAAUAAAACUAAGGGUAGUAAUAAGGAGUGGGGUACAACUAAGGACACCAGUUGUCACACCCGGUUUUGAAGGCAAACUGAAUGUGAACCAUGUACGUGUCAGGAUCAAAAACUCACGUACACAUCGAUUACAUAGUUGGACAUCAUCACACAUUGCUCAAAAUAAAUAGCGGAAAUAGUACUUUAUUAAAUCAAGAUGUCUAAGACAUAAAAAUAUUCAUUAACUUAACAUAGUCAUAAAUGUAAUCAAAGUGCGGAAUACGAAACGUAGAAGACAAGGCAUUCAUAGGCAGCUGACUGGGCAUGACUAGAACUCAUCGUAGUCCUGAAACUCCUCAAAGUCCUCCAUGUUGCUUGCAUCUCCUCCUGAGCACUGAUUGCAGUGGGAACAACUUGGGGUUUGGGGUUUUAAAGCAAGGGUGAGUACACAUCAACGUACUCAGCAAAUGUCUCGUUUGGCUAAAGUGGACUAGCUGGAUGUGGAGUUAAGGUUAAAGCAGUUGCUUUUAGUUGGUCAGAUAUUUAUUACUAGUGGUAAGCCAAGUUUUAGUAAUAAAACUAGUUAUUACCCAAAAGUACUCCCUCCAAGGGGAAAUACUAGAAACCAUAGUUAUAAUCAUCACCGCUUAUCAUCACCGCUUACUAGUUUCUAACACUAUGUAGAGGUUGCACACUUUAUCCAUGAGUCGUGAUCCCUUUCCAGCCUAGGUUUGCAAGACCUGAUCUUCACUACCAAGGUGAAUGGCCAGGGAUACACUACGUAGUCUUUACAAAGAUUCCCCAGAGGUCAUAGCCGCCCGUUAGGUUUCUCCAGUUUGAUAAAUAUAGUACUUCUCCCCAUAGAAGGGUGACUAACAAAACCAAAUCGAAAGAAACUCGGCAACCAGCCUCGGCAGAGCAAGUACUGUGCCUAGACCCCAUUGACGGCACUACGGUGAAGCCGACUACACCUCAAGUUCCUCUAAUUAAUCAACUAAUGGCGUCCCAUUCCACCCUCAUGGUUGUAGUGUUAUCCCGGGUGGUCUCUCAAUGAACAGGUCCUUACGGAGAGGUACUCAGGAAACAACCUGAGUCCCCUAAAGUAUCAUAGUUCAUCAUCAUAAUCAAGAUAACAUCAUCGUAUCAUAAAUAUUCUCAUCAUGUUUGUUGAUUAAAGUAGAGCAAUAGCAUGAAGCUAACCAUAAAAACCCAAAAAGGUAAUCAAGGACAAGAUAGAUACAGACUAGUCAAUUCUUAGGUUUCAAUUAAGUAAUGCGGGACAGUGAAUUAUAAAGUAGGACAUAAUGGGUCAGAGGACACUUGCCUUCACCAGGUUGCUGCUCAGGGAAGUCUCUAGCAACACACUCAGGAACCAUGGAUUGCUCGUUGUCUACGCAAAGCAAUCAUACAUUCAACACAUUUGGGAAAUGAUAAAGGAAUAGUACACCAAACAUAUGUAAUCCAGUGAACACAAGUUCAAUAGAAAAGUAACAAACACAAAAGUGAAGUCUGGGUUCUAGGGUGGACUAAUACACCUAGAGGUUUGUGGUUCUCUAAGUACUGCCUAUCUUGGGGAUCACAUAACCUAACUUCAUUUAUCUUAAUGAAUUACUAAAAUUAUACCAGGGAUGGGUUCAUACCUCACAUGAUAUUAACCUCACAAAGUUAAUUACCUAAUUAUCAUUAGUGUUUUCCUUUUAUUUCCUUUUAAACAAUGAACCAUUACUUUAAAUGCACCUAUAGCCUAGACAUAAAACUAAGACAUGCAAACAGUGAAAGAUUAUAAUUUAAAUAGGUAGAGAAUAAUUUUAUGAACAUUUUGUAAUUUGAACCACCCAAUUUGGAGUUCAUAUGCAAAAGAUAUGACAUAAACAAGUUUUGGAAUUCAAAAUACAAAACUAGGCGUAUUUCUAUGAUAAAAUAAAAGGUCAGGGGCUUUUCUGCAAAAACUUAGGGACCUGCGCGCGAAAACCAGGGACAACAGGUUGAUUUCUAAAAAGCCGAGGGUCUCUAACAAAAUGACCAUGCGAAGGGGUACGGGGUAUUCUCAGUCGUUCGAUCGCAGAUCUACGGGCGAGGUCAAAUCGGAGCGCGAGCGUGGAUGCAUGGACGAGCGCUAAUAGGUGGGCCAGGGUUGCCAGCGACUAGGGAGGGAAGACGGGCUGACAGUCUAGCCCAGCGCUAGGGGGCGCAGGCAACUGACGAGUGGGGCCCAGGGGCAGGGCGCGCUCACGCGAAGCGGUAUCCGUAGAUCUGGACAGCUGGAUCAGAGAUGGGCGGUUAGGAUCUAGCGCGCAGGGGUGAACAGCGCGGUGAUUGGCGUUGCUCUAUCCGCAGCGGCGAAGUCGUCGGAGACGGGGCAGACGCAGGCUCUGAGGGAUCUGAGGUCACCGGGGCUGGCUGGAACUGGUGAGGAGGACUCGACGAACAUACUGGCGGGGCUCCGGCCAUGUGAAGGGGACCGGGGACGAGAGAACGGCGGAGUGAGUGCUCCGAGCGGGUCAGGGUGACUCCGGCGAGCAAUCCCGGCCACAGGGAAGGGAAAUCGGGCACACUAAGGCCAGGGCUAGCUCCAGCGAGGAAGGUGGAAUGCUAUGGACCAAAGCAGGGGCAUAGGGCGAGGCUAAAUCGAUAGGUCAUAGCGCGGGCGCAGCGAACCGGCACGAUCGAACUCCGGUGAGGCGGAAUUAGCUAAGGCAGGGCGGAAUUAAGAGAAAUCGAGCUCGGGAGUAGGUUCCUCACCUUGGGACGGUGCUUGGGACGGCCUGGCGCGGCUCCGGGCGGCUUGGAUGGCUGGCACGGCGGGCGCGGAUCUCCGGUGGGCUUUGGCGACGGCGGCAGAGCGCGAAAGAGAGCGAGCGUGAGUGAAAUGAGGCAGGGGAGAUAGAGCGGGUGCGGGCGGGGCUCAAAAAGGAGCUGGGGCGCGUGGGCAGGCGACGUGGCUGGGCUUCUCGGCGUGCGUGCGUGUGUGCUGGUCCACCACGGUUGCGGAGAAGACGAGACUGAUAGGGCGGGCCCACGGCGUAGAGGCACGGGCGCGCGGACGAAGGCAACUGGCGCUGAUGAGGCGGGCCCACAUCGCAGAGAGAGUGGGGGCACACGGACGAAGGCAACUAGCAUCGACAAACCGACCCCAUUGGGCAGAGGGAGAGAGGGAGCGAGGAAGUGCGAGCGCGGACUGGCACUGACAGGUGGGGUCCACCUAUCAGCGGACGCGGGCGCGCACGGCCUAACUGGGCUGGAUUGGGCUCCUUGGGCCGAAAUCAGUUUUUCUAUUUUCCUGAAUUUCUAAAUGCCUUUUCUUUCUAUUUUAUCUAUGAAAUUCAAAUCAAAUUCAACCAUAAUUCAAAUUCAAAUAAUUCAAACAUGCGCAUCAAACAAAAGAAUAAUUUAGACUCAGCAUGAUGCAACAUUUCAUGACUCACAUAGAUUUUGAUAUAGUAAAAAAAUAAUUAAUAUCCCUUCUAAUAGACAUAUUUCUAAUGAAAAGGAAGAGAGAAGAAAACUAGAGAGAGAAACAAGAGGUAACACCUGAAUUUGGUAGGUUUAGAGAAGAAAUUUUAUACCCCAAAUUCAGAGUGUUACACCAGUGUAAAAAUCCUAAUAAUUUAUUAGCUGGCUAACUAUUAACGCUAAAGGAACAUGGAAACCAGACGCUUAACAGCUUGUAACGUGUGAGGUCAUUGUGAUUUUUUACUCCCCUCUGUUUGGCUUUAACUGUCAAAAAUAAUCUAAUUAGGGCCUAUUUGGUUCGCUGACUAACUUGCUACAAUUUACCUAACUUUUCUGCCUAAGGUUGGUUUUUCAAUUCGAACGACUAACCUUAGACAAAGUGUGACACAGUUAGCCACGAACCAAACAUGCCCUUAGUAACACGGUCUGGUCUAUCAUGUGUAUCCGGUUGAGGCAAUUGGAAGAACAGGGGAGAUGGACGAGGCAGGCUAGCGUACGUGUGUCGGAAUGGACUCUCUGCUUGCUGGAGCGCACAACGUGUGCCUUGGCGCGUUGCGCGUUCAGGGUACGUGUCUUGGCGCGUUGCGCGAUCAGGGCACGUGUGUCUUGGCGCGUUGCACGUUUAGGACUAGUUUGGGAGCCACAAAACCGGAGAGUAUUAGAGAGACUAAAAUCUCCUUCAUAUUCGAAAUUAAAUAAAAAGAAAAUUCUAACCCCAAUCACCUCCGAAUUUGUGGCUCCCAAACUAACCCUUAUAGUUCAACACGCGUACCUCCGGAUUUGUAUCAAGGGUGUUAAGCAGCACAGACCCUAUUUUCGACAGAUUCUGAGAUGAAUUGAAUCAUUGGGUGGCUUUGGCUAGGUUGCCUGGAUAAUUUUUGGGUAUUAAAUAUGGAUUACAAAACUUAGAACUACAUGAUUUCCAAAUUUUCAUGCGCUGACCUUCAAUGAAAAAACCCAAAUAUGUUGUGUGGCAGACUCUGAAUUGCUAUUGCGCUAGAUUGAAAUAUGUAUAGCGAACGAAUUUGUGUUGAAGGAGAAGAAGGCAGUGGAUAAUACAGUUUCAGGCCAAGAUUUCCAAAUUUUCAUGCUUUGGGGUCAGCUUUAGAGGCACUUAACUAGUAUAUACUCAUGUGCGGGAAGACGCUCAUGAGCAGCUACACAAGGGAGGAAACAGAAGAAAAUUGAAAAAAAAAGAGGAGAAAUUUAAUACGAAUAUUACAGAGACUUUACCCUUUUAGCACCAGAAGUUAUUAUUUUCCCAAUAUUAAUAAACAGUUCCAGUAAAACUGUAGCACGACUGUUCUGAAUAGGCCCUUAAACUAACACAGGCUAACUGAACACAACUAGCAAAAGUGAUAGUUUCAAAACGAAUGAACAAGCUUGCUUGGUUAUUAACAUGAACCAAGGAUGGAUGAAACGCAUGCAAACACAAACUUGCCUGUGUGAACAAGAACAACAGACUUGGUUAAAUUCUAGAAGCUUGUCUGGAAACAUGUCGUUGACCAAGUCACCUUCACCAAUAUGGAUGCAAACUCAACCUUUAUCUGUUGACAGGUCCAUCCAUGGUUGGUCGUUUUGAAGCUACACCAAUGUUCCGGAUUGUCGCUGCUGUAAGAAUGCCCUGAGCCUACCUUCAACUUCACAUCCAUCCAAGUAUCUAUUACUGCAGCAACAACAUGUCUCCUUAAGGCACUCGGCUCAAUAAUGACGCCCUUAAAGAGCUGGAUUUCUUCACAUAACCCACUGGUAAAACAGCCCACACACAAACUGAAACUGCCUUCUACUUCAGAUAUGUGUACUUCUAUCGUCGCCUCAACUGCAAAGUCAAGACGUGAUACAGUUAUGUCAACCGCUCCACUAUCCCCGUAGAUGCGUCUUGUGAAUGCAUAAGCGCUAUUAGGCAUGCAUCUGUCGUCUAGUACCACUGAUGCACCAUCAAUCAGUUGUGGAUCGUCUUUCUCUUCUCCGCCCAUCUUGAUCCUCAUGUCAAAUUCAAUUAUAAUACUGCCACACAACUCAAUGCCUCGCUUAGGGCCAGUCAUUUCUAUAAGGGAACCCUACAAAAGUAUUAUAUACUAUAUUCAGGUAAAAUAUGUAAGAAAUGUUAAGUACUUCAUUUAUGAGGUUCACAUAUCAAACCAAGUGAUUGAUUGCAUUCUGAAGCGCACAUUUAACGCUAGCUUCCAGUAAUGUGGUUAAUUUCUUUAUUUCAGUUUGCAAAUUUAACAGUCUAUUCCUAGGUGAAAUAAAGAGGUCAGAAAAACUACAUUUUGUAGUGUAAGAGCAACCAAGUUUCAUUUUCUUUUUGGUGCAUAAUACACUCAAUUAGUUUCAUAUAUAAUCUAGGCCAAGCAAUAUUACAAAUCACAACGACAGAACCCUCGGUAUGGCAGUGGCUUACGCAAUCUAAAAAACUACUUUACAAUUUUUGGAGACUUUAAAUAAAAAAUCACAAAGAGCCAUCUUUUUGCAGUUUUAACAUCAAAUAUUACUAAAUAAGAAAAUAAUCAUAAGAUAAAGACAUAUAUGGCAGACAAACAACUUAGAAGCUCAUAGGUAGGUACUCUCCACAUCCUAAAUUAUAAGUCAUUUUAACUUUUUUGGAGAGUCAAAUCAUCUUAUGUUUGACCAAAUUUGUAUAAUAAAAUAAUUAUAUUUAUGAUACCAAUUAGUAUCAUUCAAUUCUUCAUCAAUUAUAUUUUCAUGAUAGUAUAAAUAUUUGUUUUAACAAAUUUUUGUAAUUCCGAUCAAACUUUAGAUGCUUUGACUUCCCAAGAAAGUUGAAAUGUUUUAUAAUUUGGGAUAGAGGGAGUACUUGUUCGUUGAAUAAUAAAGACAUAGUUCAUACAACAAUAAUAUUCAACCAUUCCGAGGCUCCCAUCGUGAUGUUGUAAGAGAUUAUUAAGUGGUUGGAUGUCACACCCGGUUUUAGAAGGCAAACCGAAUGCGAACCAUGUACGUGCCAGGAUCAGCAAUUCACGUACACAGCAGUUACAUAACAUGGACAUCAUCACACAGUGCUCAAAUAGUAUUAAAAAGGGAAAUAGUCGAUUACAUCAUAUGUCUGAGACAUCCACAUAGUCUUUACAAUAAAUCAAAGUGCGGAAAAGAAACGUAGAUAAACGCGGCCUUCACAGGCAGCCGACUGGGGGUUGCCGCUAACCCAUGCCUAGAACUCGUCGUAGUCUUGGAACUCCUGGAAGUCUCCUUCCACAGCUUCAUCUUCUCCUAAGCAGUGGUUGCAAUGCUGACAACCUGGGGAUGAGGGGGUUUGGUGUGUAGAGCAAGAGUGAGUACACAUCAACAUACUCAGCAAGCAUCUUGUUUGGCUGUAGUGGACUAGCUUUAUGUGGGGAUAAGUCAAGCAAUUGCUUUUAGUUGGUCAGAUUAUUAUUCACUAAUAGAAAGCCAGGUUUUAGCAUUAACCCAAGUUAUUAGCCCGAUGUACUCUUUCCUAACGGAAAGAAUACCACUUACCAGCACCACAAUCAUAACCAGAACCAUCAAUCUCAUUGCCACCUGUAAACCAAAGUGUCUCUGAUCAAGUACCACUAAUCACUAGAGCUCCCUUGGCCGCUCAUAACCGCGAGCACGACUGAUAUAUCAGUUUUCAAACACUCUGCAGAGGUUGUGCACUUUACCCACAAGCCGUGAUUCCCUUUCUGCCCGGAGAGAGCUACUCCCCAUUGACCACUACCAAGGUGGCCUAGUAGUGCAUCACUACGUAGCCUUUACAAAGAUUCCCCGGGGCUGUAGCCACCCGUUAGGUUUCCUAAAUGCACAGCACUCCUCCCUAAGGGGGCGAACCCAAGCUUGGCAGAGCGAGCCGCAUACACCGAGCCCCAUUGACGGCACGACGGCUAAGCGAACUACACCCCGGAUCCUCUAAUUAUUCAGCUAAGGGCACCCCAUUCCACCCUCAUGGUUGCACUGUUUUCCCGGGCGGUCAUCCAAAGAACAGGUCCUUACGGAGAGGCACUCGAGAAACCGCUCGAGCCCCCUUAAAGGCCACAAGUAUAACAUCAUAAUAAGAAGAGGGAAAACAGCGUAUCAUAGAUAAUCUCAUCAUGUUCAUUGAUUAUAGUUGAGCAAUAGCAUAAAGCUAAACAAUAAUAAUCCAACCCAAAUAGGUAAACAAGGACAUAGAUAACAAAAGCUAGUCAAUCCUUAGGCAUACAUGUGUAAUGCGGGAGGUGAAUUAAAGAAUGAAUAGGACAGAGAUAGGUCAAGGGACACUUGCCUCCACCAACCGACUGCUGCUCAGGGGCUUCUCCUGCGAGUUCCUCGGGCUCCUCGAUCGAAUCAUUCUCUAUGCGUUUGCAAGCAUACAUACAUCCAUCCAUUCAAACUAGGAAACAAACAGUACACCAUACAAGAGAACAAAUAAAGUAACUAUGCAUAGAAUAUCACAUACGAUAAUGAAUUUACCAUGGUUAGAAAGAGGCGGGGAAAGGUCUCGCGAGGGUUGAAGCUUAUGCUCGAGGCGCGUUAUGGGUAGGCGAAUAACUAGACGUUACGUGCUCUAGUUCCCAUUGGUUCUAACAAAAGGAUUAGCUACAUGCACUAAUGUAAACGUGACCACUUUUAGUAAAUUAACAUUGAAUGAGAUAAACGAUUAGCUAUACAAAUUAACUAACGUAACCAAUUUCCAAAUUGAGACUCCUAUCUUAUUAAUAUAAACAAUGUGAUUAGCGCGCAUAGGAUAGGGGGGUAGAUAGGGCGUCUGGGGGGUAGACGGUCGUGUCGCGGACGCGACAGGGCGCUAUGCGUCGCGUCGCAGGCACGAUGGGCUACGCCAAGGCGCUGCGUGGGCACGCGCACGCGCAAAGCCACGCUUAACGUGCCGCGAACGAGUCGCGCACGCGUCGGGGCCGCGCGCUGGCCGAGCUCGAGGCCGCGCUGGGGCCAUCACGACACGAGCAAGGCACGCCGGCGGCACGCCGGGGCGGGCGGGCGAACACGGGCGACGGCGAGGACGGCCGGGCCGGGCGCAGGGCUCACCGGGGACGAGCGCGGCGGGGGCGGCCGAGCCGGGCGUGGGCGGGUCGCCGGGGGGGCGGCCGAGCCAGGGCACGGCGGGGCCGGCGAGGGGAGAGGGCGGGCUCGCCGGGGCGCCGGGCGGACGGGGCGGGGUGGGGAAGGGGCAGCGCGGGGGGGGACGGGGACGGCCGAGGUCGGCGCGGCGGGGCGGGGCGGGGCAGGGCGGGCUCGCCGGACAUGGGGCGGGGCUCGCCGGAGGCGGCCGAGCCGGGCGGCUCGCCGAGCGGCCGGGCGGGCGAUGAAGGAGGAGGGAGAAGGGGGAAAGGAGAGGGGAGGAGGGGGGCCUCACCACGGCGGGGGAGGGCGGCGCGGCGGCGGUCAGGGGAGGAAGCGGCGGCGACGGCGCUAGGGCAGGGGAGGGCGGCAGCGGCGCUAGGGUUAGGGAGAGGGAGAGAGGGAGAAUGACGGGCGAGGCCCGCGAGGAGGGAAAUUUUGGGGGGAAGGGGGGAGGGGGCGGCUGGGCCGGCCAUGGGCCCAAAGCGGGGGGCGCGGUUGGGCCGGCCGGGACGACCCACGGCGGGGGAGGGAAGGGGGGAAGGGGGGGCGGCUGGGCCGCCCAGCUGGGUCGGCACGAGGGGGAGGGGCGGCUGGGCCAAAAUGGGGAAAGGGGGGGAGAAAAAGAAAAGGUUUUUCCUUUUUCUCUAAAUCUAGAUGAAUGAUUUCACAAUUUCAAUCAAUCAAAACAAGUGCAUGGUCCGGCAUGGUGCAGCAAACAAAAGAAAGUAUUUCUAGGGUUUUACUUUACACGAGAUUUAAAGCCAAAACCCGCUAUAGCUUUGAAAAAGAUCAAGGUUUAGCGAGGGGAAAAGGGAAAAGGAAAGGGUAACGCCCGAAUUUGGCGAGUGAAAAGAAGAAAAAAAUCUACCCCCAAAUUCAGGGCGUUACAUUGGAGCAUGCCAUCAAAAUUAUGUAUGAUCCAAUCCCAUCUGUUCUAUACAUGCAUGCAUGUGAUAAGUUUGGCCUAGUACUACAAAAUCACUAAUACUGAAUUUAAAAUAACUAUUCAGAAGCAUGGGGUGUGCACCUGCUCGAUGAUGAGAGGAUCAUUCCUGCUAACAUUGACGACAUAGUUAAGCAAUGGCUCGAGAACAUCCCGCGUAGCCAUAUAUCCAUACAACUCUAUGGGGCCACCAUCCACAUCAAUCUUAGCCAACUUUAAGGAGAAAAUUUGCAACAUGUUUUCAAAAUGCUUCCCAAAUUUUUUUUGCCCUUGCAGUGCAUGCAAUCUUUGGGAUCUGAUAACGUCAUUGCCUCAAUCCGAGCUUCAUAAAACAUCACAUGAUUUAUUAUAGUGGGAUAUUAAUACGGGGACAAAAUACUAGCUAGGCAUAUGAUAAUUAAGUAGACAUGAUCCUUAGGAUCCAUUUUCACAAUCCACCAAUCAUUUUUCUAGUUUUCUUCAAUCCCCAACAAACUAACUUAUUAGAAACUUAUGUAACACCUACGAUACAAAAAUGACAAACAGUGAUGAAAACAAAUGGAGGAAGACUAUAUAUACCCCCAUGGCAUGACAAAUGGAGUGUGUUGGAUUGUGAUGAGAUUAUAGGAGUGUUGUGACACUUCACUAAGUGCUCUAUGUGCUUAAGAGAGAAUUAGGUGGCUAGUGUAUUGCUUUUACUAGCUAGACCCGCUUAAUUGUGCUUGGUCUAGGUUUAGAGCCUAGUGUUAGGUAAGUUUUGCAUACAUCCUACCGCUCAUUGCUUGUGUUCACCAUUGUUAUCAUAAAAGGGGUAUGUGAUCUUGUGAGGCCAUACAAACUAUAUUUAUGGUGUGCCUAUCACUGUGUACCGAAGUUAAAUAUUACUAUCUUUGAACAAACUAUUUCAAAAGAUCUUUAUAGUUUCAGAACAUAUGAAUUGCAUACUAUGAAUGUAUUUUUUAUAGUGAAUAGACGCACGCACACACACAUGUGUGUCAGUGUGUGUGAGAGAGACUUAGGACCAUACUAUUGCGACAUUUAAUAAGAAAUAAAUGGAGUACAUAUAAUGAAGUAUGUUUUCCUAUAUAUAAGGUUUAUUAGGGGCUCAAAACAAAUAUUGAGGGGUUGUGCCUAAGAUGAAGAGAGCGGACAAUUUAUGGCACAAGCUACAAUCCUCUUAUGGUGUCCAUGCAUGGCAGCUGGCUAUGUAUACAUGCGUGGCAAUGCAUAUCCCAUGAUUCAACUAGUUUUGUAUGGGGAUCCAAAAGGAAGUUGGUGUACUGAUGCAAUUAAAAACAUUAAGUUUUGUAUGGAGAAUUUAUCCGUUGACCUUGGUCCUACUUGAUAGCCUAAAUUUUUUUGUGAUAAGAAAAAAGGAGGUGAAAUUAGAGCUAUAUUGCUAAUAAUCACUUACUUUCAUUGCGGUUCUCAAUGCGAUGCAUUUUUCUCCAUGAAAAGGCAUUCCUGUAUAUAGAACCAUCACGGUGCGUGCUAUAUGGAAAUAUAGCCAAAUGCCGUACAUCUUCGUCAGGGUAGUUAUAUUGGUAAUCCGCGUGCUGAUCAUCAUCAUCUUCUUCUUCUUUUUCCCGGCGUUCUUCUUCUUCUUCCAGGCGCCUGAGUUCUUCGUCGUCGGUGCGCUCACCGGGAGGGCCAUCGCCACAUCGAAGAAAAAUAUCAUGGCCUGUCUUCUUCCUGGUAUGUUUGUCGCCAUGCACAGCGGCCGUCCUCCCAUCUUGUUCAUCAUUGCAUGCUUUAGCCAACGACGACGUUUCGUCGUCGUCGCCUUUGAUUCCACUGGUGGUGGUGGUGGCCAUGCUGCUGCGAGAUCCAAUUCGAAAUCUUGUGUGCCACCAAAAGGCCGCCAGUCAUCGGAUGAACGGCGGCUUAAAAUAAGAUGAGAUGGUUUGAAACUGUAGUACCUGACAACACGACGGGUGGGUGGAUCGGGAGGCACCGUGAGCGGACAUGGAGAUGCUCGUCGAGCCAGCGCUGGUGGCAACGAACGCCACAAAACAGCGGGGAGAUGUGCCGAGGCGGCGUAUUGGGCAGUGGAGGGAGUCGCAGCGACGCUGCUACGGAGACGGAGGAGAGAGAGCAUCGUUGAUCGCGAGAAGAUUUGCAUCUGCAUGCAUGCUCCCGGUCGUCGCGAGUUCCGACUGAGCGGAAUGCGAGGCGGCGCUGGGUGGGAUUAGGGAAAAAGCAUAUCCUCCGCCGUCCAAAUUCCAAUCGCGCAUUCAGUUCGCUGUCCACAAGCCACAAACAACGAUGCGGCCGGAGGCCCAUUCUACAUGGGCUGUUUGUUUGAGUAACUUCAUCAAAAAUGAGUUGAUACAUCAUGUGCCUCGACUGUUAGUGAAAAUCGAUUUUCACUAGUGGUUUUUAUCUCAACCACCAGUGAAAAUCGAUUUACACUCAGUUACCGCUUGUAAAAAAUAAUUAUUUCUGUUGGCUUCUAUUAUUGAUAGUUCUGAAAAAAUAACAGUACAAAUAAGUUCAGAACUGCCUAUAUAGAGCUUCUACUGGUGAUAUUUGGUUUUGGUCGUGUUCAAGUUCAAAAACUCAGGCCAAACGUUUCUGAGCUAUUGCCUUCAUGACGAACUCCAACUUCUACCUUUGGGCCAUAACAAGUUGUUUAUCAACAACAUGUGAAAGUGAGGUAACAACAUUGCAAUGUCAAUCAAAUUUUUGAGACUUAGAAUUAUUUCAUAGAAGCUUAUUUUUAUUACUUCAUUCAAAUUUGAGGUCUCUAUUUAAGCUACUUAGGAGCUAAGUCAAGGUGUGGUCCAAAAACAAAGUUUAUUUUAUCAACUUGUUCUACAACUUUUAUUUUUGGUCAAACUCUAAAAUUGGAAAAACCUUAAAGAUAUAGAUUGGUCAAAGCAACAUGUGGAAAAGGGUUAAAACUAGAGUUUUAGCCGUUUUAACCACUUUCUCCACAUUUUUCAAACAAUAACUCUGACUAACUUUUGUUCAAGAGUUAAUUUAGAGUUGUUUGAGAAUGAAUGCAAGGUUUCAUUGACACCACAUGUUUCAACUUUAUUAACAAAAGCAUUUCAAACAAGGUUAUAACAUGUCAUUUCAUGUGAUUAAGUGAUUCUAAACUUUAUGAAACUUCUCAUAUGAGCGAGAUAGAUGCAUGUUGACGUGAUGCACAUAAAAGAGAACUGAUUAACAUUACUCAUGCAUAUUUUGGAAAAAGGUUACAUUUAAACUAAAAGUUUAAGUUGUAUUUAAAAGUUUAAGUUGCGUUGCAUUUUUGGAAAGGUUCACACCACCUCAUUCACAUAACUUUCCCAUGUUUCACACUAGAGCUCAUGAUCACCACUUGACAUACCUUGUUCAAGUUCAAAUCCAUUGCUUAGCCUAUGACUAACACAUAGGGUGAUCACCACUUGACAUACCUUAUUCACCAAUAUAGAGUGCAACAUGGGCCUAAAAGGACAUGACAAGUCAUUCAUAGCCAAAGAAUGUUGAGCUUGGGUUUUGACUUGGAGAUUAUUAGUGAAAUAAAGUCCGAGUUCCAAAUAUGAUGAGAUGAUUCAAGGGCUUAUGGGAGGGUUGAGGAGGGUUUAGUGAGAGUCUUGGAGAUCGAGGGGCGUGUUCGAAAAGUCAUAGUUUGAACAACCAUUGAGUUGUUACAACUUGCAUAUCUCAUAAUCAAGAGGCCUAAGAGAGAAGCAUAAGUCAGGUAUAAUGCCUUCACUCCCUUAUAGACAAGGGACCAUAGGGUGCUGGAGUCAGCACACAAACACCCAAACCAUGUUAGUGGUGCUACGGCCAUCACCAUCCCAAUGACACCUGACAAAACUCACCAUGGGAAACAUAUAUAUUUCACUCAACAAAGUGUUAUUAGAACGUUGUAACGCCCUGAAUUGGGGGUAUAAACUUUUGUCUCCAAUAUUCACCAAAUUCAGGCGUUCCUCUCUUUUUCUCUUCAUGUUUCGCUCCUUCCUCCUAUUUUCAAAGCAAUAUAGAGAAUGGUGUCCGUAUCGCAUGUCACCAGAACCUAUGUUGGUAUUGUUGUUGCAUCAUGCCAGAGCAUAUUUAUUUUGUCUGAUGUUGUGCCUAGGCGUGCGUUUGUCUAGUUUUUGUUUUUGAUUCGCGGAUGGAUCUUGAUUAGAAGCAGGCGGGGUCGAGUAGAGGGAAGUCGGUCUGGCCCACGGCCCAGCCUGGCCCGCGGCGCGGCCUGGCCUAGCCCUGAGAGCGCGCCCAGGCGCCCCUGUCCCCUCCUAUAACAGCCUGAAUUUGGGGGUAUCAAAUUUCUUCUCUAAAUGCCUACCAAAUUCAGCUGUUACCUCUUGUCUCUUUCUCUAGACUUCCUCUCUCUUCCUUUUGAUUAGAGUUAAGUCAAUUAGGUGAGGGAUUAAUUAUUUAUUUUAUCAAAACCAAUAUGAGUCAUGAAAUGUUGCAUCAUGAUGAACCUAAAUUAUUCUUUUGUUUGAUGCACAUGUGUAAAAUAGGUUUAAAUUUGAAUUUGGUUUGAUUUUGAUUUGAAAUCCAUAGAGAAAAUAAAAAGAAAAGCCAUUGGAAAUUCCAGGAAAAAGAAAAGCGCAAAGGAGCCCAGCCGCCCCCUAUUUCGGUCUUUCGGACCAUUUAGCCCGCAAUCGCGCCCCGCCUCUCCCCUUCCCCGCACUCGCUGCCAUGUGGGCCCGCCCUAUUGGCACCGUCGCGCGCCCGUGCGCGCCUCCUCGCUCUCCUGCCGUGGAGGGCCCGCCUGCCAGGCGCCUCGCUCGCGCGCGCGUCCGCUGACCAGCUGGUUCCACCUGUCAGCUCCCCCUUCCUCGCCACAACCACCCUCUACGCCCGCCGUGCCCACGUCUACAUGGAUUGUGGCCACGACCAUGAGCCGGGGCAUAACCCCCCUGACGGUCAACCCCUCCCCCUGCUCGCCUCAUUUCGCCAUAGCACCCAGCCAACCCCUCUCCCCUGCGCUCGCCAUGCCUCGCCGAAGUUUACCGAGGAGCACCGUCGUCCGCGCGUUCAUCGAGCCGCGGGGCCACCAAAGCCACCAUCUGUGUGCUUGCCGUGUCCGGAACGCCGUCGCCCUUCUGUUGAGUUGCUCGGCCGAGCUACAUAGUGGGUGAGAACCGCCAAUCCUCCCAUCCCUUCUCUGCCAUCAUCGGUGUGUGCCUAGGGGCCCUGUCGCGCAGAAGACGCGAGCUCCCCGAGCAACCCCCACCGGCUGACCCGCCCUCGGCCCUCGCCAUUCGCCGAUUCCGGCCAUGGCACUCCGCGCCGUGCGCGGGCGGGAGGAAGACGAAGGUCCCGACACCCGGGGCCCUCGGGUCAGCCUCUCCCGCGCCGCCACUCUCUUUUCCCCUCUGAGGCUCUGACGAGCAGACACCACCCUACAGGAUGUGCCCGCGCCCCACCCUUCGCCGCUAUCCGGUGGAGCCCCAUGGCCCCAUGUGUGAGCACCGCGCGCCCCGCAACGAACCUGUCACUAACCAGCGGGCCCCGUUCCGCUGGGGCCCUCCUGUCAGUCCGACCUGCACCCAAACCACCCACCAGAUCCACUGACUCAUGGACCUGAUGUGUCGAUGUCUCGCCUCACCUUGGGUCCACCUGUCAGGCGCCCGCGUCCCACACACUCGUGCCCUCGCUCGCUGUUUCUAAUCUGGUCCUUCGAUCGGAGAUCGGACGGCUAGCACAACCUCGUACCCCUUCGCGCGGUAGAUUUGCUAAAGAAACCCUCGGUUUUGUAAGAAUCAACUCGUCGUCCCUCAGUUUCGCGCGCAUGCCCUUGUAAUUUUUCAGAAAGAACCCUAACAUUUUAGUUAAUUGUAGAAUUAGACCUAGUUUUGUAUUUUGAAUUCCAAAACUUGUUUAUUUCAUAUCUUUUGCAUAUGAACUCCAAAUUGAGCGAUUCAAAUUGAAAAAUGUUCAUAAAAUUAUUCUCUAUCUGUUUAAAUUAUAAUUAUUCACUAUAUGCACUUAUUAGUUUUAUACAUAAGACUAUAGACUAGUAUUAGAGAUGGUUUGUUUAUUAAAAAGAAAACCCUAAUGGUACUUAGAUGAUUAAAGUUGUGAGUUUAAUAUCAUAUGAACCCAUCCCUAGUAUAAUUUUGGUGAUCCAUUAAGAUAAAUGAAUUUAAUUCAUGUGAUCCCCGAGAUAGGCGGUACUUAGAGAGUCACGAACCUCUAGGUGUAUUAGUCCACCCUAGAACCUAAGCCUAUCUCUUGUGUUUAUACUGUUCUUUCGAGCUUGUGUUCACUUGUUUGAACAUGUUUGGUGUAUAGUUCAUUUGUCUUUAUCCAAAUGUAUUGAAUGCAUGAUCGUUUUGUUUAGACAACGAGCAGCCCGUGGUUCCUGAGUGUGUUGCUAAAGAUCUUCCUCAGCAACAACCUGGUGAAGGCAAGUGUCCUCUGACCCAUUAUGUCCAACUUAAUUUAUAAUUCACCGUCCCGCAUUACUUUAUUGAAAUCUAAGGAUUGAGUAAUCUGUAUUUACCUUGUCCUUGUUACCUUUUGGGUUAUUUUGGUUGGCUCUAUGCUAUUGCUUUACUUUAAUCAACGAACAUGAUGUGAAUAUUUAUGAUACGAUGAUAUUAUCCCGAUGAUGAUCUUGUCAUACUUUACGGGACUCAGGCGAUUUCCUGAGUACCUCUCUGUAAGGACCUGUUCGUUGAGUGACCACUCGGGAUAACAGUACCACCAAGAGGGUGGAAUGGGACACCCUUAGCUGAUUAAUUAGAGGAACUUGAGGUAUAGUCGGCUUUGUCGUAGGGCCGUCAAUGGGGUCCAGGCAUAAUACUUGCUCUGCCAAGGCUGGUUGCCGAGGUUCUUUCGAUUUGGUUUUGUUAGUCACCCUUCCUGUGGGGACAAGUAUUGUGUUUAUCAAACUAGAGAAACCUAACGGGCGACUAUGACCUCUGGGGAAUCUUUGUAAAGGCUAUGUAGUGACACCCUUCUAGGUCACCUUGGUAGUGAUCAAUGGGGAGUCAUGGUCCCCGGGUAGAACGGGAAUCACGACUCAUGGGUAAAGUGUGCAACCUCUGCAGAGUGUUAGAAACUGGUAUAUCAGUCGUGCUCACGGUAAGAGCAGCCUUGGGAUCAUCUUUGAUUAGAAGAACUUUGGAUACUUUAUGUUGAUGAUUACAACUUUGAUCUCUGGUAUUUCCUCUUGGAGGGAGUACAUCUGGGUAAUAACCGGGUUUAUUACUAAAACUUGGCUCUACUAUUAGUAAUAAAUAUUUUACCAACUAAAAGCAACUAAUUUAACCUUAACUCCACAUACAGCUAGUCCACUUUAGCCAAACAGGACAUUUGCUGAGUACGUUGAUAUGAACUCACCCUUGCUUUAAAAACCACCCCACCCCAGGUUGUCCCCACUGUAAUCAGUGCUCAGGAGGAGAUGCAAGCAAACAUGGAGGACUUUGAGGAGUUCCAGGACUACGAUGAGUUCUAGUGGUGUUAGUGGCAAACCCCCAGUCAGCUACCUGUGAAGGCCUUAUCUGCUACGUUUUGUUUUCCGCACUUUGAUCCCGUUAAAUGACUAUGUUAUGUUUAUGACUUUAUGGAUGUCUUGGACAUCUUGAUGUAGUAAAGUACCUUUUCCACUAUUAUUUUGAGCAAUGUGUGAUGAUGUCCAAUUAUGUAAUCAUUGUGUACGUGAGUUUCUGAUCUUAGCACGUACAUGGUUUGCAUUCAGUUUGCCUUCUAAAACCGGGUGUGAAACCUCCCCCAUGCACGCCCCUCACCCUCAUUCUCUCUUUCCCAUGCAAAGUAACUUUCCCCUCCCUCUCUUCCACCCCUCUCCACCUCUCUCCCUACCCUAGGGUGGAUCCUGGUGAGCGGUUGCUAUCGUCCGUCGAGCCCCGUGGUGAGCUUCCCCUCUCCUCCCUCCCUCUCUCCCUCCUCCCUUCUUCCCCGGUGUGCGAAACUCCUUCCUCGGUACGGCCUCCCUGGCCUCCGGCGCGGCCCUACCCGGCACGGUGGCCCCCAGUGUGGCCCUCGUGUGCAGCCUCCCGGCAUUGCGAUGCCCCGACAGCACGACCCAUGUGCGCUCGGUCCCUGUGCACGCAGCCCUAGCGCGUGUCAUAAUGUUUUAAAUUCUGUUUAACUCACGUGUGGCGUCGCGCGCUUCAUCAUGCGACAAUCCGUUUUAAUUCCGUUUAAUUCACGUGUUGUGUCGCGCGCUUUGCUGCACGUUAGUCCUUUUUAAUUCCAUUCGAGUAGUGCAUUGUGUCGCGCUCUUUGCUAUGCUCUUCGUCGCACGACUAUCCUUUUAAAUUUACCUAGGAUCGAGUAUAAUAAUUUAAGGGAGUAGUGUAACGACAUUUAAUCAAAUACCGAACUAAUUAGGAUCUAGUGCUAAUUUUAUUUACACAUUGAGCAAUGGUUAAUUAAUAUGAUUAUAUUUAUACAACUGUUUUAGUCCAUAACUGCCUAACAUAAUUGCUAUGUCUUUUGGUUGUAGCCUCGACCGUUGUAGUUUCUUUUCUCACAUAGUCGUAAAUGCGAGUCCUGCGCCACGCGUCUGUUUAGUUGUAAUACUUUAUUGUGUGGUGUAUUGUUUAUUUCUAUGUUAAGAUUGUGGAAUGUAUGUUUGAACUCGUAUAGAUAACGGUCCAUUGGCGGAAUCCGAAGGAGUUGUAGGCGAAGACCCUAAGCAGCAGCUGGUUGGUGAAGGCAAGUGCCCUCUGACCUAUUUAUGUCCUACACAUUUUAUAAUACAUCUCCCGCAUUUACAAAAUUUAUACCUAAGGAUUUACUAGUUCUUGUUUAUCCUGUCCUUGUUCACCUAUUUGGGUUGGAUCAUUUUUUGGAUUAGCUCUAUGUUAGCGCUUUACUUUAAUCAAUGAACAUGAUGAGACUUAUUUAUGAUACGAGGUUUACUUUUGAUUACGGUGAUGGCAUUGUGACAUUUAAGGGGGCUCAAGCAGUUUCUCGAGUGCCUCUCCAUAAGGACUGGUUCGUUGGAUGACCACCCGAGAAAACAGUACAUCCAUGAGGGUGGUAUGGGACACCCUUAGCAAAUUAAUUAGAGGAACUGAGGUGUAGUUUGCUUUGCCGUCGUGCCAUCAUUGGGGCUCGGUAUAUGUGGCUCGCUCUGCUGAGGGUGGUUUGCCCCUUGCAGAGGAGUGCGGUACAUUUAGGAAACCUAACGGGCGGCUACAACCUCAAGGAAUCUUUGUAAAGGCUACAUAGUGAAACCUUGCCUACUCACCUUGGUAGUGUUUAAGGGUUUGAUCAGCCCGAGGCAAAAAGGAAUCACGGCUCGUGGGUUAAGUGUGCAACCUCUGCAGAGUGUUAUGAAACUGAUAUAUCAGUCGUGCUCAUGGUUAUGAGUAGCCUUGGGAGCUCCAUGGAUUAGAGAUACUAUGAUUACAUAUGAUGAUUUGGAUAAUUAUGGUUUUAAUGAUUAUGAUUAUGAUUAUGGUUUCUGGUGUUCUUUCCGUUUGGAAGGAGUACUUUUGGGUUAAUAACUUGGGUUUAAUGCUAAAACCUGGCUCUCUACUAGUAAUAAUUAUCUGACCAACUAAAAGCAACUACUUGAUUUUAAUCCCACAUAAAGCUAGUCCACCACAUCCAAACUGGACAAUUGCUGAGUAUGUUGAUGUGUACUCACCCUUGCUUUACAACACCAACCCCCCCCCCCCCAUGUUGUCCACAUUGCAACCACUGCUCAGGAGAAGAUGAAGUUGUGGUGGAGGAUUUCUAGGAGUUCCAAGACUAUGAUGAGUUCUAGGCGUGGGUUAGCAGCAAACCCCAGUUGGCUGCCUGUGAAGGCCGUGUUUAGCUAUGUUCCAUUUUUGCACUUUGAUAUAUGUUAGUGACUAUGUGGAUGUCUCGGGCAUCAUGAUGUAACCAAAUUAAUACUCUUUUAUGUUAUUAUUUGAGCACUGUAUGAUGAUGUCCAACUAUGUAACUGUUGUGUACGUGAAUCGCUGAUCCUAGCACGUAUAUGGUUUGUAUUCGGUUUCCCUUCUAAAACCUAGUGUGACAUAAGUGGUAUCAAAGCCCUGUUGAUUGUAGGAUUGCUAACCUAGAGUAGAAUGGUCGUUCUAAGGAUUAUAGACCCCUAUUCUCACCUUGACCCUUGGUGUCACUUCAAAAGUUGGUCAUCUCGACCAAUCCUAUGUUCUACUAUAUAUAUUACACCUUGCUAAAAAUUUUGUUUUAUUUUAUUUCCUAAUAUUUUUUAUGGUUUACUUGCUGGUCGUAUUAGUUCUGUUCUUACUCUUAUGCUUACGGUGUCUUUUGAUGGCUCGUCUUAGAAACACAGCACGGAAGUCAGUCAUUCCUUUCUUGCCCUCUCGUCUUAUGAAGCGUCCGCUUCGUCGCUCAGUGACUGGCCAGUCCAGCCACUUGGAAAGGUUGCACCACUACCUGCACGAGGUGUAGGAGCGUCGACGCUAGGAGCUGGAGCAGUAGGGUUCUUCUUCCUCGCCUUAGCAAGAGGUAGAGUCUGCGAGGUGUUGCUCCCAUGUGCCACCGCUAGAGGCGCCCCCUGCACCACCACUGGACGCCCUAGUCGCUAGAGUAGCUGCUGGAGGAGACCCUGAUGACGGAGACGACGAUGACAUCAGCUCGAGCCACAACACCGACCUCUCAGAGGAGCAGGAGCUAGAGGGAUGGGUCGCUCAACCCAUCACUUGUGAUGCUGCUCACGAUUGUCACUUCCACGAUGCGCUCAACACCUUACUGCGUCAGACACUUGACAGGCACACUUGGUCCAUCGAGUAUCAUUGCAUGGUCUACCAACACAGUCACAGGGCAUACCCGGACCACUGGGAGGCGACUUGCUUGGUGCGUCGUCCUGAGGAUGGUCUCCGAGGUGCGGAGGUCUACUCGGAGCAUUAUUCUAUCUAUGAGUGGGACUCAGCCGAGGCGGCCAUGCAGGACGCCGCACAGCGUGCGCUUUCUCACUACUGCUCGGUGCUCAGUGGGGUGGUCGAUGGUCUUGACCUGAGGUAUUACCCCCGCCGCCCAUCUGGCAGCACUGGAGGUGUGGUUGUCUCACCUGUUGGUGAGGACAAUCCUAGGUUGAGCAGCACAGUCAACAUAGUCGUUGUGCUAAACAUGGAGUUGGACCACACUUUCGAUGAGUUGAAUAGGGCUCGUGCUGAGAUCGCCCAGUUGCAGGCUGAGCGUGCGGAGCGCCGUCACCUGGCGGAUGGCUCUCCCGCCCCCGUCGGGACUCAGCCCCUUAUCGCUUGCCUCGGCGUGGACACCAUGUCUACGGCAACCCCGACUGUAGGAUCCGGAGGAAUUUAGAACCAUAGAUCAUCAACAUUGGAUUUUUUAAUUAAUGCUUUGUCGGGGACCAUAAUUAGGGGUACCCCCAAGACUUCUAAUCUCAGCUGGUAACCCCCAUCAGCACAAAGCUGCAAAGGCCUGAUGGGUGUGAUUAAGUCAAGGCUCGGUCCACUCAAGGGACACGAUCUCGCCUCGCCCGAGCCCAGCCUCGGGCAAGGGCAGCCGACCCCGGAGGAUUCACGUCUCGCCCAAGGACCCCCUCAAGCAACGGACACACCUUCGGCUCGCCCGAGGCCCAGUCUUCGCCAAGAAGCAACCUUGGCCAAAUCGCCAUAACGACCAACCGUAUCGCAGGAGCAUUUAAUGCAAAGGUGGCCUGACACCUUAUCCUGACGUGCGCCUUUCAGUCGACUGAGCCAAGGUGACCGCCGUCACUUCGCCGCUCCACUGACCAGCCUAACAAGAAGACAGCGCCGCCCGCACCGCUCCGACUGCUGUGCCACUCGACAGAGUGAGGCUGACAGCAGCCAAGUCCGGCCUCAGGCGCCAUAGGAAGCUCCGCCUCGCCCGACCCAGGGCUCGGACUCGGGCUCAGCCCCGGAAGACGACAAACUCCGCCUCGCCCGACCUAGGGCUCGGACUCGGUCUCAGCCCCAGAAGACGACGAACUCCGCCUCGCCCGACCCAGGGCUCGGACUCGGGCUCAGCCCCGGAAGAUGACGAACUCCGCCUCGCCCGACCCAGGGCUCGGACUCGGGCUCAGCCCCGGAAGACGGCGAACUCUGCCUCGCCCGACCCAGGGCUCGGACUCGACCUCGACCUCGGAAGACAGACUCGACCUCGACCUUGGAGGAGCCUCCGCCUCGCCCUACCCAGGGCUCGAACCGACCAUGUCACCGGAGGGGCCAUCAUUACCCUACCCCUAGCAAGCUCAGUUUACAAGGAACAAGACCGGCGUCCCAUCUGGCUCGCCCCGGUAAACAAGUAAUGAUGGCGCCCCGCAUGCUCCAUGACGACGGCGGCUCUCAGCCCUCUUACGGAAGCAAGGAGACAUCAGCAAGGACUCGACAGCCCCGACAGCUGUCCUUCCACUAGGCUCCAGCGCUCCUCCGACGGCCACGACAUCACACGAACAGGGUGCCAAAACCUCUUCGGCUGCCACGACGGCAUGUACUUAGGGCACUAGCUCCUCUCUGUUAGACACGUUAGCACACUGCUACACCUCCCAAUUGUACACCUGGACCCCCUCCUUACGCCUAUAAAAGGAAGGUCCAUGGCCCUCUUAUAGAGGGUUGGCCGUGCGGGGGAAGGACGGGACGGCGCGCAUAAGCCUCUCGCUCUCUCCCACGCGGACGCUUGUAACCCCCUACUGCAAGCGCACCCGACCUGGGCCCGGGACAAACACGAAGGCCGCGUGUUUCCCCUUUCACGCCUGUCUCCCUCCGGCUCCAUUUCCCCCCUUCGCGCUCCGUCUCGCGCCGACCCAUCUGGGCUGGGGCACGCGGCGACAAUUUACUCAUCGGUCCAGGGACCCCCCGUCGAAACGCCGACAGUUGGCGCGCCAGGUAGGGGCCUGCUGCGUGUUGACGAACAGCUUCCCGUCUCCGUUUUGGGAGUCUUGAGUUCAUGUCCCUCGACGGCAGCUAUGACAUGAUACUCCUUCCUCCGCCGCGCGACAGCGACAAUGGCGGCCGACAACCCGCCCGCCGGCGGCGGGAUCGACGACGUCUUCCCCACGUGGUGGAAGAACAACAUUCGGGUUUGUCCCGUCCCCUCCCCCGCCGACGGAGGAGGAGGCAGGGCAACCAAGGCCAAGCAGGAGGCGACACCUCAUCGGCUGUCGAGCGAGUCAUCGGCGCCGAUGCCCCAACGGGGGGCACACCGGGCAUCGACCUCGCGUCUGAGACGAAGACGAGCGUUGUUUCCCCGCAACACGCCAACUCCAAGCAAGCGAACGACACCAGCAUGCUCGUAAGGGACUUGCUGGGCGUUACCCUUGUACCUGAGACGACGGUGCAGUCUACCCCUGACGUGACUUCGUUACCGCCCGUCGACCAAGAGGUACCGACCGAUUCCCAUCUCGUGCCUUUUGGAUUCAGCCUCGACCCGCCAAGCGAUUUCGCUUCAGUGGACGCUCUCAUAGAGGCGAGUUCGAGCCCUCUGGGGUAUCGUAUGCGGUCACACUGGGACCGGCUGACAGCCGUCUCGACCUACGGGCCCUCGGGUUCCGAGGAAGAUGACGAGCCCGACUUUUGUUGGGAUUUCUCCGGACUUGGCAACCCCAGUGCCAUGCGGGACUUCAUGACCGCAUGCGACUACUGCCUUUCCGACUGUUCCGACGGUAGCCGCAGCCUCGGCGACAAGGACUGUGGCCCAAGUCGUGAAUGUUUUCAUGUCGAUCUAGGGGGUCCCUGCGAAGGCAACCAUCUUGGUAUAUCGAAGAACGGUGAUCCCCCUAGGCCUACGCCUCGCGUUGACAUCCUUCGGGAGCUAGCUGUGGUCCCCGUCCCGACGGGGGGUCAUGACCCACAGCUCGAGCAAAUCCGUGAGAUGCAGGCCAGGCUCGACGAGGGAGCAGGAACACUUGAGCCGUUCCGCCGGGACAUCGGGCAGGAAUGGGCGGGCCAACCUCUGGCCGGAGAAGCACGUCAUCUACCCUAGGGCAUCCAGCACUGCAUCACCGAUGAUGUCAGGGCAAGGCCGCCACCGGCUUCCAGUGGGGUCGGCCAGAACCUGGCUGCAGCGGCAAUACUUCUCCGCGCGAUGCUGGAGCCAUCAACCACCGAGGGGCGGCGUAUCCAGGGAGAGCUCAAGAAUCUCCUGGAGGAUGCCGCGGUCCGACGGGCCGAAUGCUCUGCCUCCCGAAGGCAGGGCUACCCCUCGGAGCAUCGCGCCGCGACUUCCCGAUUCAUGCGGGAAGCCUCGGUCCACACCGGGCGCAUGCGCAACACAGCGCCUGCGGCCCCGGGUCGCCUGGGCAACGAGCACCAACACCGCAACCGUCGAGCCCACCUCGACGAGAAGGUGCGCCGAGGCUACCACCCCAGGCGUGGGGGACGCUACGACAGCGGGGAGGAUCGGAGUCCCUCGCCCGAACCACCCGGUCCGCAGGCUUUCAGCCGGGCCAUACGACGAGCGCCGUUCCCGACCCGGUUCCGAACCCCGACUACUAUUACAAAGUACUCGGGGGAGACGAGGCCAGAACUGUGGCUCGUGGACUACCGGCUGGCCUGCCACCUGGGUGGAACGGACGAUGACAACCUCAUCAUCCGCAACCUCCCCCUGUUUCUCUCUGAUAUCGCUCGAGCCUGGCUGGAGCACCUGCCUCCGGGGCAGAUCUCCAACUGGGACGACCUGGUCCAAGCCUUCGCCGGCAAUUUCCAGGGCACGUACAUGCGCCCUGGAAACUCCUGGGAUCUCCGAAGCUGCCGCCAGCAGCCGGGAGAGUCUCUCCGGGACUACAUCCGGCGAUUCUCGAUGCAGAGCACUAAGCUACCCAACGUCACCGACUCGGAUGUCAUCGGCGCGUUCCUCACAGGCACCACCUGCCGCGACCUGGUGAGAAAGCUGGGUCGCAAGACCCCCACCAGGGCGAGCGAGCUGAUGGACAUCGCCACCAAGUUCGCCUCUGGCCAGGAGGCGGUUGAGGCCAUCUUCCGGAAGGAUAAGCAGCCCCAGGGCCGCCAGCCGAAAGAUGUCGCCGAGGCGUCCACUCAGCGUGGCACCAAGAAGAAGGGCAAGAAGAAGUCGCAAGCGAAACGCGACGCCACCGACGCGGACCUUGUCGCCGCCGCCGAGUACAAGAACCCUCGGAAACCUCCCAGAGGCACCAAUCUCUUCGACAAGAUGCUUAGGGAGCCGUGCCCCUAUCAUCAGGGGCCCGUCAAGCACACCCUUGAGGAGUGCGCCAUGCUUCGGCGCCACUUUCACAAGGCCGGGCCACCUGCAGAGGGUGGCAGGGCCCGCGACGACGAUAAGAAGGAGGAUCACAAGGCAGGAGAGUUCCCCGAGGUCCACGACUGCUUCAUGAUCUACGGUGGGCAAGUGGCGAACGCCUCGGCUCGGCACCGCAAGCAAGAGCGUCAGGAGGACUGCUCGGUAAAGGUGGCGGCGCCAGUCUACCUAGACUGGUCCGACAAGCCCAUCACCUUCGACCAGGGCGACCACCCCGACCGCAUGCCGAGCCCGGGGAAAUACCCGCUCGUUGUCGACCCCGUCAUCAGGCUCACCAAGGUCCUCAUGGACGGAGGCAGCAGCCUCAACAUCAUCUGUCCUUGGUCCGGGCAGGCGCUGCGCCUUUUCACGGGAUCAUCCCCAGGAAACGCGUCCAACCCCUCGGGCAACUCGAUCUACCCAUCUGCUUUGGGACGCCCUCCAACUUCCGAAGGGAGACCCUCACAUUCGAGGUGGUCGGGUUUCGAGGAACCUACCACGCAGUGCUGGGGAGGCCAUGCUACGCCAAGUUCAUGGCCGUCCCCAACUACACCUACCUCAAGCUCAAGAUGUCGGGCCCCAACGGGGUCAUCACCGUCGGCCCCACGUACCGACACGCGUACGAAUGCGACGUGGAGUGCGUGGAGUACGCCGAGGCCCUCGCAGAAUCCGAGGCCCUCAUCGCCGACCUGGAGAGCCUCUCCAAGGAGGCGCCAGACGUGAAGCGCCAUGUCGGCAACUUCGAGCCAGCGGAGACGGUUAAGUCCGUCCCCCUCGACCCCAGCAACGACACCUCCAAGCAGAUCCGGAUCGGCUCCGAGCUCGACCCCAAAUAGGAAGCGGUGCUCGUCGACUUUCUCCGCGCAAACGCCGACGUCUUCGUGUGGAGUCCCUCGGACAUGCCUGGCAUACCGAGGGAUGUCGCCGAGCACUCGCUGGAUAUCUGAGCUGGAGCCCGACCCGUGAAGCAGUCUCUGCGCCGAUUCGACGAAGAAAAGCGCAGAGCCAUAGGCAAGGAGAUCCACAAGCUAAUGGCGGCAGGGUUCAUCAAAGAGGUAUUCCAUCCUGAAUGGCUUGCCAACCCUGUGCUUGUGAGAAAGAAAGGAGGGAAAUGGCGGAUGUGUGUAGACUACACUGGUCUAAACAAAGCAUGUCCAAAAGUUCCCUACCCUCUGCCUCGCAUCGAUCAAAUCGUGGAUUCCACUGCUGGAUGCGAAACCCUGUCUUUCCUCGAUGCCUACUCAGGGUAUCACCAAAUCCGGAUGAAAGAGUCCGACCAGCUCGCGACUUCUUUCAUCACACCUUUCGGCAUGUACUGCUAUGUUACCAUGCCGUUUGGUUUGAGGAAUGCGGGUGCAACGUACCAACGGUGCAUGAACCACGUGUUCGGCGAACACAUUGGUCGAACGGUCGAGGCCUACGUCGACGACAUCAUAGUCAAGACGAGGAAAGCCUCCGACCUCCUUUCCGAUCUUGAAACGACAAUCCGGUGUCUCAAGGCGAAAGGCGUAAAACUCAAUCCUGAGAAGUGUGUCUUCGGGGUCCCCCGAGGCAUGCUCUUGGGGUUCAUCGUCUCCGAGCGGGGCAUCAAGGCCAACCCGGAGAAAAUCGCAUCCAUCACCAACAUGGAGCCCAUCAAGGACUUGAAAGGCUUACAGAGGGUCACGGGAUGCCUUGCGGCUCUGAGCCGUUUCAUCUCGCGCCUCGGCGAAAGAGGCCUGCCUCUGUACCGCCUCUUAAGGAAGGCCGAGUGCUUCACUUGGACCCCUGAGGCCGAGGAAGCCCUCGGGAACCUGAAGGCGCUCCUCACGAACGCGCCCAUCUUGGUGCCUCCCGCCAUCUUGGUGCCUCCCGCCGCUGGAGAAGCCCUCUUGAUCUACGUCGCCGCUACCACUCAGGUGGUUAGCGCCGCGAUCGUGGUUGAGAGACGAGAAGAGGGGCAUGCAUUGCCCGUCCAGAGGCCAGUCUACUUCAUCAGUGUGGUACUGUCCGAGACCAAGAUCCGCUACCCACAAAUUCAGAAGCUGCUGUACGCGGUGAUCCUCACACGGCGGAAGUUGCGACACUACUUCAAGUCUCAUCCGGUAACUGUGGUGUCAUCCUUCCCCCUGGGGGAGAUCAUCCAGUGCCGAGAGGCCUCGGGUAGAAUUGCAAAGUGGGCGGUGGAAAUCAUGGGCGAGACGAUCUCGUUCGCCCCUCGGAAGGCCAUCAAGUCCCAAGUCUUGGGGAUUUUGUGGCUGAAUGGGUCGAUACCCAGCUCCCAACAGCUCCGAUCCAACCGGAACUCUGGACCAUGUUUUUCGAUGGGUCGCUGAUGAAGACAGGGGUAGGCGCGGGCCUGCUCUUCAUCUCGCCCCUCGGGAAGCACCUACGCUACGUGCUACGCCUCCGCUUCCCGGUGUCCAAUAAUGUGGCUGAGUACGAGGCUCUGGUCAACGGGUUGCGCAUCGCCAUCGAGCUAGGGGUCUGACGCCUCGACGCUCGCAGUGACUCGUAGCUCGUCAUCGACCAAGUCAUGAAGAACUCCCACUGCUGCGACCCAAAGAUGGAAGCCUACUGCGAUGAGGUUCGGCGCCUGGAAGACAAGUUCUACGGGCUCGAGCUCAACCACAUCGCCCGACGAUACAACGAGACUGCAGAUGAGCUGGCCAAGAUAGCCUCGGGGCGAACAACGGUUCCCCCGGACUUCUUCUCCCGAGACCUGCAUCAACCCUCAAUCAAGAUCGACGACGCGUCCGAGCCCGAGAAGGCCUCGGCGCAGCCUGAGGCACCCUCGGCCCAGCCCGAGGCACCCUUGGCUCGGCCCGAGGCACCCUCGGCCCCUGAGGGUGAGGCACUGCGUGUCGAGGAGGAGCGGAGCGGGGUCACGCCUAAUCGAAACUGGCAGACCCCAUACCUGCAAUAUCUCCACCGAGGAGAGCUACCCCUCGACCGAGCCGAAGCUCGGCGGUUGGCGCGGCGCACCAAGUCGUUCGUCUUGCUGGGGGAAGGGAAGGAGCUCUACCACCACAGCCGCUCAGGCAUCCUCCAGCGAUGCAUUUCCAUCGCCGAAGGCCAGGAGCUCUUACAAGAUAUACACUCGGGGGCUUGCGGCCAUCACGCAGUGCCUCGAGCCCUUGUUGGAAACGCCUUCCGACAAGGUUUCUACUGGCCGACCGCGGUGGCCGACGCCACUAGAAUUGUCCGCACCUGCGAAGGGUGUCAGUUCUAUGCGAAGCAGACCCACCUACCCGCUCAGGCUCUGCAGACCAUACCCAUCACCGGGCCAUUUGCUGUGUGGGGUCUGGACCUCGUUGGUCCCUUGCAGAAGGCACCCGGGGGCUACACGCACCUGCUGGUCGCCAUCGACAAAUUCUCCAAGUGGAUCGAGGUCCGACCCCUAAACAACAUCAGGUCCGAACAGGCGGUGGCGUUCUUCACCAACAUCAUCCAUCGUUUUGGGGUCCCGAACUCCAUCAUCACCGACAACGGCACCUAGUUCACCGGCAGAAAAUUCCUGGACUUCUGCGAGGAUCACCACAUCCGGGUGGACUGGGCCGCCGUGGCUCACCCCAUGACGAAUGGACAAGUAGAGCGUGCCAACGGCAUGAUUCUGCAAGGGCUCAAGCCUCGGAUCUACAACGACCUCAACAAGUUCGGCAGGCGAUGGAUGAAGGAUCUCCCCUCGGUGGUCUGGAGUCUGAGGACAAUGCCA